UACUAUUUUCAGCACACAAUUCUUCUAGUCCGAUAUAUAUGCACCCAAGCCAUUUGAUGUAUACAAGUAUUUCGAUUCCCCCUGUUCUCUGUUCUUGUAUACCUCCUUGUUCUUUGAAUUGCUUGCUGUCAGUUCGUUGGAGUUGGAGUGAAAACCUUAGUUUUAUGUUCAGUAAUAUGGAAGCUUAUGUAGAUGUAUCUCAGAAGCAAGUAUGUAUUCAGAGAGAAUCCCCACCUCUCUCCAAAGUUGGGUGGAUGAUUUUCACAUGUGUAACCAUCUCUUUGUUAUGUGGUUAUAAACAUUUUUCAAUCUGUGUAUGGUUGCUAUGAGUGGAACUAAUUUUGGAGCAGCGGAAAAUUCAAAAUUUUAUCGCUGCCUCCUUUUCAGGUCAGCGGCAUGAGGCUUGGAGUGUGCUUCUAGAGAGUUGGACUGGGAGAGACUUUGUACAGGACUUGUGAAGACUCAUUUGUAGGUGUUCUCACCAUGCAUCUUGGUUGUGUUGCUAUAUAUGGCUGUCAGACAUAUUUUCCAUAUGUAUCUACGGCUUGGUUGAACAGCAAAUGUGUAUGCAUACAUCUAUAGACCGUACUGGGAAUAUAUAUGGUGAUUAGUAGUAGUACUUCAGUAGUAAGCAAAAUACAAAUUGAUUUACCUGUUGUCAAAGAUGGAAGCAGAAAGAUUGUCUGAAUGGGAGGAUCGGCUGCUGGAAAAGAAUAUGCAAACUUCAUAGAAGACCCGAGGGAAACAAUAAUACACUAUCAUAGCACUAAAUAUAUAGCAAUCUAAGGCGACUGAGGUUCAGGGAAAUAUCAGACUUAACUAAUUUAUUAAAACUUCAUACGGCAACUAAUUGUGCGGUAUGAAAUCACUUAAUACCCCUCUUUUGAUUCAAAUAAUUUUGGAGAUACAAGCACACAUAUGGAUAAAUGAAGUCUUAGCAUACGAAUUGUGUAUAUUUGCGUGUGUCCCAUCUGCGUAAACCUAUAAAAACCAAUUAUUCAGAUCUGUCAAAUAUGUAGAUGCAUUCAGGCUGUAGUUUUUUCAUUCAUCAAGAACUCUAUCGUGGGCUCAUACCUGGGCAGAUUGGAGGCCCAUUGCCAUACGAAAUAAGGCCACUGAGGCACUGACCUGUAAAAAGACUGAAAUGGCUACUAAGUAUCCCUCCGUUUUCUUUUUACUGUACUUGCAUAUAAGAUUUGUCUUAAGUCAAACUUCAUAAAGUUGACCAUAAUUAUAUACCAAAUUAUGAACAUCUACUAUACUGGAGAUAUACAAUAUGAAAGUUAAUUCAAGUGAUGCAUCUAAUGAUAUCGAUUUUAUGUUGUGAUGAACCUUGAUAUUUUUCCUAUAAUUUUAGUCAAACUUUACUAUGUUUGACUUGAGACAAAUCUUAUAUGCUGACUAAAAAGAAACGGAAGAAAGGAGUACUUGGAAGUGAACACUAGAUUGAUACUACUGCUUUAUAGACACUCUUCCCCAAAAUAAACCAGACAAAUGGCAUUAAAAUUCAUCAAUACAUGCGACAAUUCACUGAAUUAACUUUUGUCCUCCUCUUGUUUGGACAGAGCCUUGAGCUUUUCUCGAAUUUUCUGGACCGGAGCAAUAGCAGGUUGGGGCUGGAGCCACAUGCAGCAUCCACGACGCAGCGGCUUCACUAACUUGGCCUCGCCAUUGAUGAGGCUACACCUGUACACACGGCUCAUGAAGACGAAGUAGGCGCACCCGCCCUCGAUGCCCAGCUGCGCAGCGUCGACGCAGAAGCUGGCCCGGGAACCGAGGAACAAGGUGCGGUCGCCCAAGCUACUGGCGUCCCUCAUCGCCCAUCGCAUCUCGCCGCCCGCUCCUUCUUCCAGCGUCUGCACCGUCACUGAUAAUGGCGGCGAUGGGUCCCCCAAGUAGUGAUGACGACGCCAUUCACGCUCCAUGAGGAUGGAUGCUCGCAACAGCUCGCCACGGGACUCGAGGACGUAGCUGCAAAAGCCGUAUCGUCUGUCCUCGGCUUCACGACAUGGUGUCUUGAGCUCGCCGACGGAUGUGUACUGGUCGGUGUUGUCUUGGAAGUCCAGGAUGCAACACCAGAACAAGUCCUCCCACACCAGGGCCUUGUCGUCGUGAUAUGCAGCACAGCAAAAGUUUGCCAACCUAUUCAGUCUCUUUUUCAUGACUGCCCACGCCGCCUCGCCGGGACGCAGGACGGCCGCCGUGAAGAUCGCCCCGUAACCCUUAUCACAGGCUCACAGCUGUAUAGAAAGAUGGUUCCGUCGCCAUAGACGACGCCAUGGGGAUUCCUCAUCCGCUUGAUCACAUCGCUGUAAGUGUCGGUAUCAUCAGGGAAAGGAGGCAGGAGCUUGGUGGUUCCAGAUACUAGGUUGAUUAGUUUUGGCUCAGGACCACCGGUAAAGAGCCAGACGGCCGUGCCAUCUGCGCUAGCCACCCAGUUCCUGCCGCCGCCUCCCGUGGAUGGAGCCGCGGCAGCGAGGACGAUGUCGUCGUUGUAAUCGCGGCGGUUGCUCGAUGACGCAUCCUCGGAAGAGACUUCGACCUCCGAGUAGACCACGGGGGAGUGCAUGAUCUGGCCGUCGUUGCUUGGCCAGAGGAGCCAUGGCAGGAACUUGGGGCGCGUGGCCGCGGAGUGCAGUCGUUCCCGCCAGGACGUGCAGACGCUGUGGAAGCGGACGAAGUCGACGGGGUCGUGCAGACGGGCGGAGACGGCGAGGAGCAUGUCCGGCGAGAGAUCGGACCACUGCCGGGAUUUCCUCAGGGCGGACAUGCCGCCGGGCUGCGGCGCCUGCGCAGCGGCGACGGGGGUUUCCAUGGGAUCAAAUCAGAGGGGAUCAAGAUGCGUAAUCAAGAAGAGAUCGGAUCAGAGGGGCACCAUGGACUACUCGACCCUAGCGUGAUUACGUUUAAAACAAAGAAGAGAUUACGUUAUUUCAGUUUGUUACCAAUACCAAAAACAUGUACUGGCAGAUAGCUUUUCAGCCGACUUAGGGCCAGUUCUUUUCGGUGGAUUCAAAUUUUAAAAAUAAGCUACUUCCUCUCAGUUUAAAAAUAAGUCACCUUAUUAAGACUUCUAAAUUGAUUAUCCCAUAACUAGUUUGAGAGACGGUUUAUGGUAAAAACUACGGAACACUAACGCUCAUACGUGUGGGGCGUUACCCAACUCGCACACACGCCUCGAUCGUCGUCCACUGCCUUUUGCACGAAUCUUGGCAUGAAAAGGUUGAUUUUGUGUGCCACGUAGGACAAGUCGCGUAUGUGGCGUGUAGGCGAGUUCGUCCGCACGCCGGUUUUUCCUCCGAGGUCAGCGGUUGCCAGUCGGGCCGUGUGGUGGGACUGCCGUCACGCCCGCACGCCACGCCCGAUUGCGGUUGCCGUCUCCCACGUCUCGCUACUUCGCUCUCCCCUCGCGGUUCAUUUACUCCCCUCCCCAUUCAUUACUCCCCAACCCACUAUCCACACCAGUUGCAUUCGAUUGAGGAGAAACCGAGAGGAGAAGGCGACGGCGGCGGCGGAAGAGUCGACCGCAUUUGCGGCCGUUGGUGGGGCUCGCUGAACCGGAGCGUUGUCGCCGGAGCAGCCGCAGAUUGAAGGUAAGGCUCCCUCCCGUGCUCACAUUCCUGCCUGCGAUUUCCGCCCCGUCCAUCUGUGGUCAAUUUCCGAUUGAGUUUCCUCGAGAUUCCGGCCGAUUCGCGGUGCUCCGACGUCCCGUCGGCGGUGGAGUCGCGUGCUUGCCAUUUAGGGUGGCAUUGCACAAUUUCGUCGCCGCCGCGGUGGCAGUCAUGCCGGUGUGGCUCGGCCUGUCCGCAGCCACAUCCGGUUUUUGCCAUGCGAUUGAGCGGGCGAUUUUCUAGAUGUUAGUUAUGAUUUGCCUCGAAAUGCUAUGGCCAUCAGUGUAGGGAGUUUUUUGUUGUUGAAUUCAGGGUAUGAUAGUUGCGAAUGAACCCUAGAUCUAGUUAGGUGCAUUUCAAAGUGCAAGAUAAUGGCAGCCAUGGCAUUUUCAACAACUAUCAUCACUAAUGGCAACUAAUUUUCUGAUCAACCGUGUCAGUUGCCACGACUAUGCUUUUCAUGUGGCAACUAAUUUUGUGAAUACACUAUGCCUGUUGCCAUGCCAUAUGCAGGAUAAUGGCAAAUUCACUGUACAAUAGACUCAAUUGCGUUUGCCAUGCUGACUUGUGAUAGCUGAACAUAUUUGACUGUAUUACAUGGCAACUCAUUUUUAUACGAGCCCAGGGUGUGAGUUGCCACAUUAUAUGUUGUGCAGUAGAAGUUGUCUGCCCCUUUUUUGAAGUGCCUUGUGUUAACAUGGCAACUUGAACCUAGUACAUUAUGUGAAUACAUGGCAACUCAUUUUUAUAUGAGGCCAGGGUGUGAGUUGCCACAUUAUAUGUUGUGCAGUGGAAGAUGUAUACCCCUUUUUGGAGUGCCUUGUGCUAACAUGGCAACUUGAACAUAUUUAAAGUGCCUUAUGAUCUGUACAUUUUUUAUGAAGCCAAUGUGUUAGUUGCCACAUUUCAUGUUGGACAAUCCUAGGAGGGUGGGUGUUCCUAUGAUAUGCCUCAUUUGCCACUUUCAUUGGAGCCAAUAUGGCAAGUAGAUUCUGCUAGCUGGCAAGUGCUUCCUUUAGAAGCACAUACAUGUCCAGUUGCCAUGUUUCUGCAACUGCUUUUCAAUUUUGAUUAUUUUUCUGCCUUUUUGUGCAUGUUCAGCACAUGGCAAUUACUGCCCUCUUCAGAUGCUUAAACUUUGGGGCAACCAUUUGAGUUUUCAUUUUUGUUCAUCGAAGAUAUCAAGUGAAUAUUUACUUUAUGCAUUUCUUUCUGUAUCCGUCGGCUGUGUUUUCAUUUCACCCUAACGUGUGUUUUGUUCUUACAUUAGCACAAUGGCUCGCAGCGACCAUCAAGACGAUGAUGAUGACUUCAUAGAGUUACCGCAAUAGAAUCGCGCGACUGGUCGGACAAAAGAUGGCGAUGAGGUCAUUUUUCCACCCCCAUAUGUUUUAAUGUCACAUUGAGUUUUCAAUCUUCCGUUAGAAACUAAAUUUUCACGACAUUGAACAUGGCAACAAAUGAUCCCUUUUCUGUUAUGCAGAAGAAGAAACGUCAUCGCAAUAGGGCUUCGCAAGAACGCGUGACUAUAUUGACCGAGGGAUUUCCUAAUGAGCAGAAGGGAGCUGCCGGUGAGAUGGGGAUGCAGGCUCUGGUCGAUGUUCGGUGCAAGAACCUAGUGAACCCUGUAUGCGACCGGCUCGGUGAGAUUUAUGAUCCUGCCUCCCGGGAAUUCGUGAUUCUAGGACAUGGAAGACUGCCUUUGGAUGAGGAAUCCGUGUUCUGCACUUUGGGUUUGCCCCUGGAGAAAUCAAAGUCCCGUAUGAGGUGAAUAAUAAGAUUGAGGAAGCCUUGUUUGCCCGUUUGUCUCCUGGGAUGGCAUCCAUGCCGAAUACGACUGUGCUGGCAACUUCGCUGGAGGGCAUGAAAACCCAUUGCGAGGUUUUUAAGAUGAAGCUCCUCAUGCACCUGAUCUCAGCUGUCUUUGCGCCUACCACAUCUCUUCGCCCAAGCAACAAGUGCUUCCCCAUCGUGGUGAAUGCUCUCUCUCUCUACUUCUUUUCCCCUUCAAUCUUUUGAUUUUAAUGUCAUCUGGAAGCUAGUCACUGCCAGUUUUUUGAUGUUUUCAUUUGAAUGCUGAUGCGGCAACUUUUUGUCCUGAAAUUGUGUUGUGCAGACGAAGCUGAAAGACGUGAAGAACAUGAAUUGGUGUAAAUUCAUCGCGGACUUCCUGCAUGAUGCAUUCUCAAACAAGAUGUACCAGAAGGGUUGUCGCUUACACUUAAUGGUAUUUUUUCCCUACUCUUUUGCAAAUACUCUUACCACGGUUCAAUGUUUUCCCAAAUCAACAUGGCAGUUGUUGAUAAGUGUGAACCGUACAAGAUCGUGCAUGGCAACCCUUUGUUUCAUUGUUUAUGUGAAUCUUUUACAUGUGAAAGUGACUUCUGUUUGAUCCAUGACAUCUGUAGUUGCUGCCUACAAGGCAAUAGCAUUUUUCAACAACACAAAAAAGUGUUCAUUUCAUACAUCCACUCUCUUUUAUACAACUAGCAAAGUGGCCCGCUCGAUGCGCAGGCUAGAAUUUUGAAAGUUUAAUAAUGAGAUCUUAUUAUUUGAUAUGUGUAAAGAAACAGCGGAGCCAUGGUAUUUUAUUUACAUAUAAAAAUAUAUAUGUCGUCCGUUUAUCAUUUAGCUUGUGUUAUGCAUGACGUUGUCACUAUAUAUUUUCUGAUCGGUCGUGUUGUGCAUAUUAUAUUUAGAUCCUUUUUUCCAUCAUUUUUACCAUGUUGCAUUGUAAUAUAAUUUUUUUCAACUUUAAUUUAAUCUCAUUGUAUCCAUGUAGGCAUAACAAUAUUUGCUAAUGUGUGUAAGAUUUACAUAUAAAUUACUAUUUUUUUUGUUUUUUACUGUAACUUUUUCUAAUCUUGUAUACAAAAUUAGAGUGCAUUUAUAUACUAUAUGUAGUGUCUUGUUAUAUAUUUGUUUCCAUGAUCAUUUGAUUUAGGUAAGUUAAGGCUCAUGCACUAAGCGGGACAAAUAUUUGCUUACAUUAUGUCAUAAGCGAAGUUUGCUACUAUAACAGUGCCCACAAUUUAUAGGGAAAAAACAUCCUCCAAGAUAGUGUGGACACUACUUCCGGACAAAAGCAUUGUCCACACUAUUACGUACAUUACAGCUUUGAAAGUUAAUUUUAGCAUUCCUAAUUCCAAGAUAGUUAGAACCCAUUUUUAAAAUUAUUAUAGUAUAUUAUUUGGUCGUGUCAUGCUUAAGUUUGUCGGAUUCUCCAGGAUUUAUUUUAUAUUGCAUAAUAUUUGAUGAUUGUGAUGAAAAGACUGACGUUGAUAGAUAUAUUUAACUUGAAUUACAGAUUAUUUCUUUGAAAAGAAAAGUAAUCACGUUUGGCUAGUCAAACUUACAUAACAAAGAUGUAAACCAUGUGUGCAUGUAUGGCGUCAAAAUGCUCAUCAAAUACGGAUUACCUUGACAAUGCUUGAAUAGUUAAUAGGAAGUAACACACAUCUUGUCUACAUAUAUGCUACCUGACGGUUAGCAUGGUACUUUGAUCGGUCUUGUUUGCAUAUGUAUUUUGUUAUCGCUCCGACCUAGAUCAAAGCAGUCGUGCAACUCCUGACUUGGUCCUGGUCCGUUGCCUGUAGAGGCUGAGAACCUCUGCAUGUAAUCGGACUCACCGUUGUUGGUGAACAUGGCGAGGUUGUUUGCCGUGUUGUCAAUGAGAUGUACCCCUAGCCCCUAGGCGACAUCAUGUUGGCAAGUUGGGGACCAUGGCCUGACGGAAGAAGUGCACUGCUAGAGUUUGAAGCACAUGCGUUCAGAGCUAUAUACGUGGAUAUCUUUUUAAGCUGAUGUUCCCAUAUUUUAGGUAUAGCAUGUGAUGCAUGCAUAUAUCAAUGGCCAUGUACGCAUGUUUUCUUCUUCCAAAAAAUCCAUUAAUGCAUGUAUACUGCAAGGCAUGUAUGCUAGCUUUUUUUUAAAUGGACCGCUCAUGUAUGCAUAUUGCAUCCAUGCACAUGUGGAUAGAUUGUUUUUGUUAGCUCAAUCUCUCAUGCAUGCAUAUUGUUUGGCAUGAGCCCAUAUCCCACGCACAUUAAUUUUUUCUGCCCAUGUUCCAUGUACGUUAGGAUUUUUUUUGAGAUUGAUUUCUCAUGCGUGCAUAUUGUUUGGCAUGUCCCCAUAUCCUACGUACAUUAUUAUUUUUCUGUCCAUGUCCCAUGUACGUUAGAUCUAGUCUGUUAGUUAAAUGAUGGGUCCACCAAAUUAUAUUUUUUUAUUCUUUUUUUAGAUUGGUCGGUUUUAGAUCUAGUCUGUUAGUUAUAUCUUUUAAGUGACGGGUCCACCAAAUUAACGGCUAGAUGUUUCUGAUUUUUGUGGUAAUUUCUUGCUUAUUUAUCUUUUUUCUGGGUACCCCUUUUUUUUUAGAUUGGUCGGUUUUAGAUCUAGUAUGUUAGUUAUAUCUUUUAAGUGAUGGGUCCACCAAAUUAACGGCUAGAUAUUUUUUUAUUUUUGUGGUAAUUUCUUGCUUAUUUAUCUUUUUUCUGGGUACCACAUCAAUUACUUUUAAUAUAUAAAUAGAUCUGCAUGGCAACCAUGAUGUUGAGCUGGUGGCAGCGACCAGUAUAACAAGAUGGCAACUGCCAACACAGCAUGAUGGCAACUAACAAUAGAUAGAUGGCAAAUCGUUUUUUCUUCAUUCCCUUCAACUUGAUGACUCAAGGAAACUACAUUAGCUUCUUUUUCAACAUAGCAUGAUGGCAACUGACAUAUUUUUAUUUUUUAUUGUGUAUACCAGCUCAUGUACGUCGAUCGUCUUGAUCUGUUCACCGUCGACUUUACUGGGAUAGGAGGCCCGCCGCCUCUACAUAAGUUUGCUGUCUCUGCAUGGACGUACGAUGCUGUCAAGGCUGUGCUUGCCGCAGACAGGAUAACUGAUACGAAAUAUGGGAAACUGCAGGUUAGUUUUGCCUCCUCUCUUGCACGGCAUUCUUCAAUUUCGAUGUUGCAUAACAUAUGAAAAAAAAUCCCCAUAUGACAACCAUCUGUGGCUAACAAUAUAUAAAUACCUUGGCAGCCAUGGCUGUCUGCACAUGGCACCCAUGUCUGACCCCACACGGCAACUCCGCCAUCCAUGUCGAAACUUCUUCUUUUUCCCUCUUUUUUGCAAUACAUGAAUUGUUAGUCACUGCUCCUUAUUUCUCUCUUACAUCUUAGUUGUUUUUGCUUUUUUCCAGCUGAUGGCCAAGCAUGCUAUAGACUACAGUGUGUUUGGUGGGCCUCAAAACUUUGGCAAGUGGAUGGAUGUGCAUUCAGCUCCAUCUUGUCCUGCUGAGGUAAUCAAGGAUGUAUAUUUUGUUUUUUGAAAUUGUUUUUCUCUUUUAUUUUUUGAUAUAUCUCUAUGGUUGUUCUGGUUUAUUUGUUCUUACGCACGUGACUGUAACAUGUUUGGUUACUGCUACUUUUUGUUUUGUGCUCAGGCGAGGGCACCCGUUGAGCAUCUAGUUGGGCAGUUUGCUUCCGGCAUGACCAGCUUGCUCGGGAAGUUGGUUGAGGGUUGGAUGGCACUUAAUUGCUCUGACAGCGACGCGGUUGCGAGGUAGUUCACACCAUUUGUUGAAGAACAGACACAUCGGCCAACUUGUUGCCGUGGCCCGUACGACUACAACAGCUACCAGGAGCUCCCUGACACGCAAGAUGAACUAGAUGGAGAUGCUGGUCUUGACAAGGACGAUGAUGAUGACAUGGAGAAUGUGCAACAUGAAAACGACGACGAUGAACAUGUUGAAGUUCGUGUAGGUGGUAAGAAGGACAAGGCUGCACCAAAUGUCCCCCCACCGGAGAAAGUCAUUGAACAGACAGUUGCGAGAGACACGGUGGUGUUGCCUUCAAAGAGGGGCAGGGCUCCAGAGGAUGUUGGGCAGAGCUCUGUUGGCAAGAGGUCUAGGACCGAUCCUGUAGCUGCUAGGAGGAGGUUCGACAUCUGUUUAGUGUUUUGUUUGUCUCUCCUUUUUAACAGACCGACCCUUUUUUCAUUGUUUGCUAAGCGCGGCAUGAUUUUUGUGUCUCACACUUGGUACCCUUUUUUGCCAUUAUUUCCAUGUGCAGUGAGGCGAUAUCUGGUGGACGAGCAGUUAAGAAGAAACAAACACCAACGCCAACCCGUGUUUCUGCCCGAUUGAACAAGGGUGCUUCCACUGCUGGUGACUCCACUUCCAAUAGGUCGUCUCCUCGUACGUCGACGUCCAACACCGGGGAUCCUAUCGUGUUGGAAGACUUGAGGAAGACAAUCAAGAAGUAGGUUCUCCCUGUUUUUCCAUUGUCAUAAUGCUAUUUUUUUGCUUGAUGCAUUCUAGAUCAUACACAACUUUUUUAGUUGAUACAUUUUAUGUGGCAACUACCGUAUGCUUUUCAAUGCAACUGUCUAGCUUGCCAUAUGGGCUACUGCCAUCAGUCCCACAUGGCAACUACUGUUUUCUCAUGAUCUUUUUUUGCUGCAUGGCAACUCCUGCUUGUUCUGCAUGGCAACUGCUAACUAGGCCACAUGGCAAUUCUUAUUCCACUUAUAUGGCAACUAGCAGCUUUCCACUGGCUUAAACCACCUACAUUGUCAUGUGUGCUCAUCCAUACCUUGUUCUCAAAUGGCAGCUCUGGCACAUCACACAUGUUUUUUUCAUUUUUAAGAUGACUACCAUGGCAACUAUUUUGUUCAAAUUUUUAUACUCUUUUCAUGUGCUUUCUUGCAGCGUGACCAAACAGAACCCUAGAGACCCACUCGAACGCAUUCAUUCCAAGCUGUCGAGAAGUGGCAACUCAGAUGUUCAUGAGGCGCCAGUCGACAAAACUGCUGCUGCACCGUCCACUGUUCCUACUAGCUCUGAUGCAAGCGGCCGACCAUCUCCGCUGGUUGCAGAUGUGCAGGCUACAACAACAGGCAUCUGUACAUCUGGGAGUGAUGAGUCAUUAUCUACCAGGACUGCUGAGACAGUGCCCACUCUGCUGGCAAUGAGGGAUGCUGCUGUGACCCAUGCCACCCGAUCAGCAAGUGUUGAAGUGGACGUUCGCGAGAUCAACCUAAGCAAGAAAGAUUCCCGCUCAUCUGAUACGGAUUCCAAGCGUGUGGCUGCUGGUACUUAUGCGUCCACAAAAGAAGGGGUUGCGGCCACAAUUCAGAAUGAGAUGUCAUCCACAGGUGAGACUCAUGGCACAACAGCUCCAGCUUCUGGUGGUCCAGAGGUUGCUAUGGCGACCGUUGCGCGAGUUGGUCUUCCACCUAGGCAGCGUAGCCCCCGCAAGCAUCCUGCAGACAUACCCAAUGCACCAGAUGUAGCUAGGAGCAGCAGAGAUGACUCUGGGUAUGUGCCUGCUUCCACACUAUUCCCACCUCCUGCCAAAAGCAAUGUUAUGGAGAAAACGGAAGUCCAGAGUACAACUGACGCAGGUGGCAAGACGGGCACGACUGACGGAGGUGAACGUCCGGAGCAGACUGCGUCUUUCACCACCGUGGAGAACCCCAGCUUAAAUCUGCGCACUUCUAAGCUCCCAAUCAACAUUGGUGUCCCAUACAGCCCAAACAAGAAGAUUGGCAAGAAAGUUGUGAUUGAUACCGCUGGCAGCACGCCCCGCCCUACUAAUAAGCCUGAUGAUACUGUAGCAGAUGAGGAAGAAAUGUUUGUUGAUCUAUCACCCCUGGAUUCUGCCAAGCAACUUGUUCGCGAUCCGGCUGGUAGGGUGGAGAGGCACCCAAUGGCCUUCAUCCCACCGAGCUGUAGCCUUGGCAUCGACCGCAGUCAAGAUGAACCAGUGGUGCAAGAUCCUGUGCCAGUUGCCUUUGCUUUCCCGGCAGGCAUGGCCUCAAUGAUGGCGCAUCCAAUGGCUGAUGACAGGAAGGCUGUGAAGUUUGUAGAGCCGAUAGUGCAAGGCACAUUUUUUGUGUGUUUAUCAUUUUGUUUUCUACAUUUUUUUAGUCUGACGUUUGUCACAAGAUUUUUUUGGUUUCUCACUGGUGAUGGAAAAUCUCAUGAGAUGCACAUGGCAACUGGAGUUGCUGCAACAUGGCACCUACAAUUGUUGCCAUGUUACAAUUCCAUUCACCAAGCACAUGGCAACUGGAGUUGCUGCGACGUGGCAACUCCAGUUCAAUGUACUUGGCAACCGCAGUUGUUGCCACAUGGCAACUACAGUGCACUACACAUGGCAACUGGAGUUGUUUCCACAUGGCAACUCACUAUUUUGCACCUACAAUUCACAUUCUGCACCCUUUUUUCACAAUAACUUAGUUGUUUCCAAGUAUCCUAACCCGCUGUUUGAUCCUUGCAGCCACCCCUAAGGAGAUUUCGCCGUCACUUGAUGAAGCUUACCGCAGGAUUGAGGAGGAAGCAUUGAAGAGGAGGUCCUCAUGGGGUCAGGGGCAAUCAAGUUCUAACGUGCUUGCUGAGUCGCUAUCCGAGGAUACCGUUAGAAGUGCCACCCCUGGAUCUGUGAGGCAGCAUAGGGUAGUUCACGCACCACCCGUGGAUGACUAUGAGCCCGAAGUCAAGGCCACAAAGGAGAAGAACCAUCUGUAUGAUAUUGUCAAGCGUUUUGGAAAUGCGAGAUCCAACAGCAAGUACAUGAAGGAGCUGAAAGUGUGACGUCCACACCACAUAACCCCUCACUUGCUUUUCUCUUAUUUUUUUCCUUUGCUAUUCCAGCCAUGCUUUGUUUGCAUUUUAUUUUUAUUUUAUUUAGUAGACAUGAUUCUUUCAAGUUAUAUCAUUUUCAUACAGCUCAUGUUUGGACAGAACCAAAAUCAUACAAUGUGAUGCGACGUACGUCGACCUGGGUGAUCUUGCCGAGUCUGUGAGGCCACUUGGUAAAAUGUCACAGAAUGUAGUUGCGUGUGGGAUUGACUUCAUCAACAGACAUAUGGAUAUUUGUCCCGACAAGACGAUCAUGCAGUACAGUGUAACCUGCAAAAUAUGGGAUGAUGAUUUCCACCAUAAAAUCCCGAGGAAGCAUUUUGCCGCGCAUGGUGAAUUCAAGCUCACACUGAAGAAAUGUGUGAGUGUUCCUUCUUGUUUGCACAUAUUUCUCCCAUGCUAUGUUUUGUCAGUAGCUAUGCUUGACAUGUGGCCCACAUACUAUUUUGUGACAGAUGUUUCAUGUGGCAACAGCUGCCAUGUAAAUAAGUUUGAGUGUUUUUAAUUCAACUUAUGUGGCAACUUCACUUAAAAUAUUGGGCAACUUUGUUCAUACAUGGAUGGCAACUUCUUUUAAUUACACAUGGCAAAUAAACAUUCUCUGUGGGUGCAUUUUUGGACACUUGCUGCUUUGUCGUUCAUGUACCUCUUACAGCAUCCGGCAAUAUCUAUACAUAUCAUUUUUCCAAUUACAUUACUUCUAUUUUUUUAUGUGAACUCUGCUUUUUUUUACUUGCAGGUCCUGUUCCCCAGGGAGCUUGCACCAGACAACCCAGAUGACAAGUGUGGUCACCACUACGUGAUUUGCCUUGACCUGGAGAACCAACGAUUUGAGGUACUUGAUUCAAUGCGUUCAGAAGCUGAUGAAGACCUUACUACACAUACUGAAUUCUUCAUCAACAACCUCAAAGAGACAUGGAACCGUCACUACGAAAACUCAAAGGUCUAGAUCAGUUAUUUUCCAAUCGAUUAUGUCACGACUACGAAGCAAGGAAACCGGUAAUUACUAUCUUUUUCAUGUGUCCUCCACACCAAUCCUAAACCUUUUGUCACCUCUGCAUUGAAGUUUAUGAUUUUUCUGUUCUCUUGAGUUCACCUGAUUCUUCUCUUUUAUAGGCAUGACUGUGGCUUUCACACGUUGGAAUACCUUGCAAAGUGGGAAGGUCGACGGGUCCCUGUCGUCACAGCUGCAAUGGUCGUUGAGCUCCGCAAAAUAUACACAUGGAACUGGUUGAUGAAUGAAGAUUUCAACACGCGGGCCAAUGCACGAGAGUUCAUAGAGGAAGCUGUCAAAAAAGCCAACAAGAAGUACAAGUGAUCACGUGGUUCUCCACACCGCACGCCUACCUUACAUUCUGUGGCUGAGGAAUGUAAGGUAUCAACUUGUUCUUUUAAAACUAUGUCCGUGUGCUAUGUUAUGACUGCCCCCCCCCAUAGUCUAGUAUGUAGUGGUGGUGUGUGAGUGCCAUUUGAAAUAUUUGUAAUAUAUGUGUGGAUGUGAACCUACUUAGGUGUGACAGCAGCUACGUUUAUGUUCAGUACUAUCAUGUGUUUGUGGUUGGUAGUACUAGUUGGGUGUUUGAAUGCGUCUAUGAUGCCUGAAACAUGGCAAAUAUAGUUGAUCAGACACGGUUAGUGAAAGUAAUCGUUCCGUUUUUUUGGCUUUUGGGUUUUUUGCAUUGCUAACUGUAUCGGUUAGCAGGGUAGUUCAUAAGCAGCUGUUACCUCGUGUUUUUUGCACGCGAUCGUUUCAACUAGUUUGCUCAUGGUAUGCAUACAAUAUAAUAUGUCUGGGGAAAAAUGCGUUGUUUGAAAACGGAAUUAUACGCAAUGGCAGAUUCAGUAGAAAUAACAUGGCAGAUUCGAUGGAAGCUGCAUGGCAGAUUUAGUAGCACACACAUGGCAAUUUUAGUCAUUCAUUCAUGGCAAUUUCUUCAAACUCUGAUGCCCACCAACAUUCAUUCUCCCAUUUUUUUUAAAUCUAGACCAUCUACCUUACAAAAAACACCAACACCCAAGUUACAAUCCUUCACAGUUGCUUACGGGUUGCCCGCCCCUUUCUUUGUUUUCUUGUGCUUUGCUUGAAUUUCCAACCCCAAUUUGUAUCUCACCUCUUUUGGACGCCCUUUUGUGAUGGAACGGGGCAGGUUCCUGACCUGGGUUUGCAUGCUUGCUGUUCCAGAGCCUACCUCCGAGUUUUCAGAUGAUGGACCCGUGGAUGAAGGCACACUUGAGGUGCGGGGGAACUUGUGUAAGGCUUCUUCAGCCUUCCUCUUUUUGAUAUCAUCAAGCUCUCUUUUCAGGGCCUUCCUGUGUUUUUCUGCCACCCUUGCUGUCUCGUCACUCUAGCAUGCUUCAUCUAUUAGUUCCGCAUAGUUCUUGGUCAACACAACGUGCCUCACGGCGUCCAUGGUUGCCUCUGGUCUCUCAUCAUGCACAGCCAAAACUGCAUUUGAUGUUUGUGGCCCCAACGCGUCGUCAGCGUCCCAAGUCCAUCGCCGCCAUAUGAAAUGGCGGGGCAAUCGUGUUACCGCGACCAUUUCCAUUACUUUCAGUAUGUGACAGCACACAAUCCCGUCCCGUUCGAAUUUGCAGCAUUGGCAGUAGUAUUCGCCUUCGUUUAUCGAGGCCUUCAUGAAGUAGUUCCUUCCCUUGUCCGGGUCCUCGGGUUCUGGAUCGGACAGGCCCAAGAGAGAACACACCUUGAAUGUAUGUUCGUCCACCUGGUAAGCUGUGUACACGCUGGCACGCUUUAUUUCUUCCUGGAAUCUGCAAGUUUUUGUGCUUUGUUAAACUCUUAUAUGAUUUUUGUAGCACCUUAUGUUGAGGUAGGUCGUAACAUAGCAAACGUAUCUAAAAUCAAUGAUGGCAUGGAAAUCCUGAUUUUUUUCCCACAUCUAUUCUUGUGUUGUUUGUUUCCACAUGGCAACUGCAUGAUAUUUCACAUGGCAAAUGCAUAACAUUUAAAUUGGCAAAUGCAGUUCAUUUAACAUGGCAAAUGCAGCUCAUAAACAUGGCAAACACAGCUUUGGGUCACAUGUCAACUACAUAUCAUUUCACAUGGCAACUACAGUUCAUUACACAUGGCAACUACAGUUCAACCCACGUGGCAACUAUAGUUGAUUCCACAUGGAUGCCAUUACAGAUCAUGCUUACAAUGUACUCAGUGGCUAUUUUUCAAUAGACCAGCAAGUCAAAAAAGUUGGCAACUGCAUUGCAUUCUACAUGGCACCUACUAUCUUCAUGCUUGUACAAAUUAGAUGGUAAAAUUAUUCACUUACUUGUUAAAAAUCUUGUUGGUAUAUAUCUUGCUCAUCUGCCUUUCCAUCGGUAAAUAUGUUAGCAAUUUAGGCUGCUUGAGCGCGGUGUUUGCUUCUUACUGUAGCUCAGAUCCCAGUAUUUUCUGUUGCAAAGCCGUGUAUUGCUUGGCAAACUACAGCAAUGAGUUGCCAGGGCUCACGUACCGCUUCAAAACAACAUUGAACCCCUCGCUGCGCUGAGUAGUCUGCAGAAAUGUGAAGAAGCACUGCAUGAAGUAGGCCGACACCAGUACAUUCGCUUCUCCCACAGGCUAGUAAGUGUCUCGUUGUCUUGAACUUGGUAUGUUUCAAUCAUAGCCGCCCAGCUCCGUUCAAACUCCUCCACCGUCAAGCUGUGGUCCACGCACAACUCGAAUGCCAUGUGUAGCUCUGGACGGUCAGCAAAGAAUGGUCCUAGCGUCUCCUCAGCCUUCUUAAUAAUAUGCCACCUGCAGUGCCUGUGCACUACCAACGGAAAGACCUCCUCUAUGCCUGUACGCAUGCUAAAAUCCUGGUAUGUUAUUAUGUUCAUCGGAGCAAGUCCACCCAUGCACUCCAAGAAGGUUUUGAACAGCCAAGUGUAACCAUCCGUAUCUUCGUUCCGAACGAGUCUGCUACCUCUUGAGCACUGCAUUGGUUUUCCCUUGAAGAGGAAAGGGUGAUGCAGCAAAGUAGCGUAAGUAUUUCCCUCAGUUUUUGAGAACCAAGGUAUCAAUCUAGUAGGAGGCUACGCGCGAGUCCCUCGCACCUACACAAACAAAUAAAUCCUCGCAACCAACGCGAUAAGGGGUUGUCAAUCCCUACACGGUCACUUAUGAGAGUGAGAUCUGAUAGAUAUGAUAGGAUAAUAUUUUUGGUAUUUUUAUGAUAAAGAUGCAAAGUAAAAUAAAAGCAAAGUAAAAAGCAAAGGAAAUAACUAAGUGUUGGAAGAUUAAUAUGAUGAAGAUAGACCCGGGGGCCAUAGGUUUCACUAGUGGCUUCUCUCAAGAGCAUAAGUAUUUUACAGUGGGUGAACAAAUUACUGUUGAGCAAUUGACAGAAUUGAGCAUAGUUAUGAGAAUAUCUAGGUAUGAUCAUGUAUAUAGGCAUCACGUCCGAGACAAGUAGACCGACUCCUGCCUACAUCUACUACUAUUACUCCAAUCAUCGACCGCUAUCCAGCAUGCAUCUAGAGUAUUAAGUUCAUGAAAACAGAAUAACGCCUUAAGCAAGAUGACAUGAUGUAGAGGGAUAAAUUCAUGCAAUAUUAUAAAAACCCCAUCUUGUUAUCCUCGAUGGCAACAAUACAAUACGUGCCUUGCUGCCCCUACUGUCACUGGGAAAGGACACCGCAAGAUUGAACCCAAAGCUAAGCACUUCUCCCAUUGCAAGAAAGAUCAAUCUAGUAGGCCAAACCAAACUGAUAAUUCGAAGAGACUUGCAAAGAUAACCAAUCAUACAUAAAAGAAUUCGGAAGAUUCAAAUAUUGUUCAUAGAUAAACUUGAUCUUAAACCCACAAUUCAUCGGUCUCAACAAACACACCGCAAAAGAAGAUUACAUAGAUUAGAUCUCCAUGAGAGAGUGGGAGAACAUUGUAUUGAGAUCCAAAAAGAGAGAGAAAGCCAUCUAGCUAAUAACUAUGGACCCGAAGGUCUAAGGUAAACUACUCACACAUCAUCGGAGGGGCUAUGGUGUUGAUGUAGAAGCCCACCGUGAUCGAUGCCCCCUCUGGCGGAGCUCUGGAACAGGCCCCAAGAUGGGAUCUCGUGGGUACAGAUGGUUGCGGCGGUGGAAUUAGGUUUUUGGCUCCGUUUCUGAUCGUUUGGGGUACGUAGGUAUAUAUAGGAGGAAGGAGUACAUCGGUGGAGCAACAUGGGGCCCACGAGGGUGGAGGGCACGCCUGGGGGGGGGGGGGGUAGGCGCCCCCCUACCUCGUGGCCUCCUCUUUUAUUUCUUGACGUAGGGUCCAAGUCUCCUGGAUCUUGUUCGUUCCAAAAAUCACGUUCCCGAAGGUUUCAUUCCGUUUGGACUCCGUUUGAUAUUCUUUUUAUGCGAAACUCUGAAAUAGGCAAAAAACAGCAAUUCUGGGCUGGGCCUCCGGUUAAUAGGUUAGUCCCAAAAAUAAUAUAAGAGUGAAUAAUAAAGCCCAAUAAUGUCCAAAAAAGAAGAUAAUAUAGCAUGGAGCAAUCAAAAAUUAUAGAUACGUUGGAGACGUAUCAGAGUCCGCAACUGAACUGGAAUGACUGAUUGUGGUUAUUUAUUCCUAUGAAUCGAGCGCAGGACAUCUUGUACAUAUUAGUGAGAUAUGUCGCGUCGAAUGAAAUGCAAUCACGGAAAUUUUUGUAGGCUCUUCUUGCAGCACCAUCCACCCAAUACAUGUUUCUGACAUGGUCCUCAUCGUCCAAUGUUAUCCUAUAGAAGAAAUCAGCAUCUGCUUUUGCUUUCUCUUUGAAGUAGGCUAUCAUGUCUUCUAUGUCAGCCAACCUGGUCUCUCUACGGUACUUUUCCUUUAGGUUUGUGACGUCUGCUGGUAUGUAGGGCAUGCUACUUAGAGUUCCAUUUUUGCUGUGGAUCAUGGACAGUAUCUGGACCAUUCUUGAUGGACCGACGUUACAAUCAUGUAGCAGCUUUAUGAAUUUCUUCUUGAGGGGGGUGAAUCCUCUGUGGGCGCUCAGAAAUUUUACGAGAUCAAACUUCUUUAUGAGUUCAUGGUUGUGUUCGUCAAAAUAUUCGGUGACCACCCACCAUGCUCCAUUCGCGUUUAGCUUACACCGGACAGGGCAUUCUGUCUUGACAAUGAUGCCUCUCUUUCGUUCCGGCACGACAUGAGCAACACCUUUACCCUUCUUGUUCCUUCGUGCCUUGUAGCACCUUAUCUCACCUCUGCUUUACUCAUUAGUUUUUUUAUUUUCCUAUGGUAUUCGGUGUUCACCGCAAACCCAUGGAACAUUGCAUAUCUCUGGUAGAAUUCCUUGGCAUCUUCAAACGAACCAAAUCUCUGCCCAACAUACGGUGGUUGAGGUACCAUGACUUCUGAUUGCCCAUCUUCUUCAUCCCCUUGUGCUUCGUCAUCAGUUUCAUCAUUCACUUCAGUAUCGGCGGCUGUUUCAUCUGCUUGAGUGUUUCUUGUGCUGGUGUGCAAAGGUGUGCUUGUCGGCAUUGCUGGAACGAUUGCCAUUUCCGACACUGAUUCUGCAUUGUUUGUGGAAGGAUUGUUGACUGGCUGCUGGAAUGCUUCUUCCGUGUGCUCAGAGGUUCCCGCAGUAGAUGUCCCCGCGCCGCUGUUGAUUGUAGUUGAAGGUCCUGCAAAAAAACAGGUGCGUGUGUAAGCAUUGCUUCAAUGGCAGGUUUAUCGUAACGGAAUAUAGCAACUGCAUCUGAUUUGGCAUGACAUCAUUCAUACAGCAAAUCAUGGCAUUUGCUUGUGGCCAUGCAUGGCAACUGUAGUCUUUCAGCCAUGGCAGCUACAGUCCAACAAACAUGGCAGUUACUGUUGCCAAGGCAUGGCAACCAGCAUCUUUAGCAUCAAACUUGGAUUCUAGGUACGAGCUCACUAGGCAAAUGGAGUCAAUCACGAAUGUUGCACACAUGCAUACAACAAUUGACAAAUCCUGAAGACAAUAGAUGACUAUUUGCACGUGUCCACUUGGUAGCAUUUUUGUUGUUUUUCCGCCACCACCGUGACAAAUCCACUUCCCCCCCAUGCUUUUCCACAAAAGCAAAUGCACUACUGUUUUGCUGGUUCACAUAUUUUUACCUUGUUGUGCCGCAUGUGCUAAUCGUAGCUGGUCUGUCAUUCCAAUUUGUUGUGCUCUAUCUGCAAUAGCGUUGGCCUGCAACUGUGAAGCUUGCCACGAUAUGUUUGCUAAUGUGGUUCCACCAUAACAACCUGCGAUCAUUUAGCAGUUGGUUAAUGCAUGGCAACUGUAGUUUGUACAACAUGACACAUGUAGUGGUUCAACCAUGGCACACAGAUUUGUUCACACUUGUCAUCCACAGUUGUUUAGACAUUGCAAUCACAUUUGAUUAUACAUGGCAACUGCAAUGGAUUUGACAUGGCAACUGCAGUUGUCCAGGCAUGGCAACUGUAGUUGUCCAGACACGGCAACUGCGUUUUGUCGAGUCACCAUGUAAACACCAAUGUCACCUAUGUUCCUUCUCCUGAUUCACUGUCCACAAAAUCACUUCAUACGACUCACCUGUGUACGACGUUGAUGGCAGGUACAUGGUUGCCGCUUGUUGCCAUGUGCUGCAUGAAGGUCCUGCGUUUUUCCAUAAAACUCGUAAGUCUUUGCCAUCCUUGCAUGUUUAAUUUCAUGGCCACACCAGUAUGUUUCUUUUUGUACACGUUACCUUGAUUUGCCACAUUGGCUACUUGAAGUUGGUCGCCCGUACAUCUGUCAACGUUAGCGCCCUAUGCCUGAACUUGCCAUGGUAUCCCCGUGUGUGUGGUUGGGUCAUAAGAACUUGCGAAAAAUGACAUUGUAGGACAUAAGUAGAAUGCCAUUUUCCUCGUCACAAACAUGUCAACUGCCCCUUUCUUUGAUCAUGCAUCGUACCGAUGCUCGCGUAUUGCUCUAGUAGUGGCAGCAACGGCCCUGUGGGAAUGAGUUGAUUGUACUCUGCUGCAUCCCAAAGGGGCGUUUCCGGCCGUUGAGAAAACCAAGGACCAGUGCCGUUUUCAUGAUUCAUUUUUCCGCUUUUUUCUACCACUGUGUUUUCAGUCAUUGCACGAACAAGAACGCAUGAAUAUCCGAAAAUGCACACUUUCUGUUUUGCACAUACAAGAAAACACGGCAAUCUUAUCACAUUUUCUUGCAAACACAACCAAUACAUCAUGGCAAGUAGGACAUGCACAUCCAUUCUCUUUUCUAAAAUCUGGAUGCCAACUAUCAUUUUGAACAGAUGGCAACAUCCAAGAUAAUAUGAUGGCAAGUAACAACGUAACAUGGUGGCAGCUAACGGCAAAGAUAGGUGGCAACUAACGUCAGAUAUAGGUGGCAAUUAUUUUUUCCCUCCGUAUGCACCACCCAAAUUCCUCCUUUCUUCCCCUAAUUUUAGUAAAUCCUACACAUUCUUCUGGAGCAACUACUUGCAACAACCCAACCCAGAAGCUUAGUUCAACCCUAGGAUACAAUAUGGCAGAUCUGGCGUAAGUUGGUGGGCAAAGGGGAAUACACACAAAUCUGUGGUGUGUUUGCCAUGGCAGCAUGGAUCUAGUCGCCAUCCUCGUAGGCAAUCUACAAUUUCAAUUUUCUGGACAGAAGAAGGACGAGAAACAGGAGGAGAUCGGAGAUUGACCUGUNNNNNNNNNNNNNNNNNNNNNNNNNNNNNNNNNNNNNNNNNNNNNNNNNNNNNNNNNNNNNNNNNNNNNNNNNNNNNNNNNNNNNNNNNNNNNNNNNNNNNNNNNNNNNNNNNNNNNNNNNNNNNNNNNNNNNNNNNNNNNNNNNNNNNNNNNNNNNNNNNNNNNNNNNNNNNNNNNNNNNNNNNNNNNNNNNNNNNNNNNNNNNNNNNNNNNNNNNNNNNNNNNNNNNNNNNNNNNNNNNNNNNNNNNNNNNNNNNNNNNNNNNNNNNNNNNNNNNNNNNNNNNNNNNNNNNNNNNNNNNNNNNNNNNNNNNNNNNNNNNNNNNNNNNNNNNNNNNNNNNNNNNNNNNNNNNNNNNNNNNNNNNNNNNNNNNNNNNNNNNNNNNNNNNNNNNNNNNNNNNNNNNNNNNNNNNNNNNNNNNNNNNNNNNNNNNNNNNNNNNNNNNNNNNNNNNNNNNNNNNNNNNNNNNNNNNNNNNNNNNNNNNNNNNNNNNCAUGGCAACUGCAGAAGGAAGACGAUGGAGGUAGGGGAUCGAGGGGUAGGAGACGACGGCGGUAGGUCAGAGUGGGGUUCGAAGGCAGGCCGAGACGACGGGCGCGUUAGGUCGUGCGGGCAGCGCGGUCGAUUGCCUGGGCGUGUGGGCGAUUGUGCCACACACCGGACGUGCGGGCUGUGGCUGCCUGCGCCCAGACGCCGUCGUGCAGCGGGGUCAUCUCCGUGCCACACAAGGCGUGCGGCACAACCCCGCUAGAUGCCACACGUGUGGCAGUUAUCGUCGUCCAAAAACUAAGGAGGAGGUAGCUUAUUUUUUAAACGGCCAAAAAAACUGGCCCUUAAUCCGCUUGGGAUAGGCGAGGUCAGUUGACCGAAAACUGUUUUGGUGUCAGAAGGCCAGUUGAUUUGUUUUCGGUCGUCGGAUGCAAAACCAAGCCCAGAUGCCUUCCAUCUUCAUCUUUUUACCCAAGCCGCCCCACAGACCACCGGCUGAAUCGCACAACCGCAGGCAGCGCUUCUGCACCAGCCUUGUCGCCCCGCCUUCCCCCCACUGUCGUGUUGGCGCCGCCCCCAGCCAUCCCUCUAAAUCGGCGAACCACCAGAAUUUCUCGACGAGCCCUGCACCCCCACCACGAACCAUCAUACUCACCUAGAGCUCAUUCCUGGCCAAGGCCUUGCCGGUGUCCUCGGGCCUCGAUGUCGCUCGCCCCAACACAUAUUUAUUGGCAUACAUCUGGAGACGCACAUCUCAGUGCGCGCAUCCGAGCGCGUCUAUAUUUUUCUAUUUCGGGUUUUCUGUCCACAGAUUUUUUUUCUUGCGUUGUAGGUUUUACUAUCUUCCCACAUAACCAACCCGGGUGGAUAAUGUGUGUUUUAUUUCGUCUUCAUCCCAGAGAUGUUGUUUGAGGGAGAGAGAUGGAGAUGAUGGGGGAAGCUGAGUAGCGGGACAGAUGGAGCGGUCGGCGAGGCAGGCAGAGUGGCUUACCGGUGGGACAAAUGGAUUGACCGGAAAUACGGGCGGAGUGGCUGCCCGGCGGGUGUGUAGACCGGCCGAUGAGGUGGGUAGACCGACCGGCGAGAUAGGUGGAGUAGUCGUGUUAGCGAGGUAGUCUCCACAUGAACUUAUUUCCUAGAAAGCCGGUUUUGAUUUGUUGGUAGGUGUUGUGGGCAACAUAGUAGAAAAAAAUGUCUUACGAAUCCAGGGUCACAAACAAACGCGACCGAUAUAAGAGGUCAGUGAAGAAGUUGCUAGUGAUUUCCAUCUCUAGAUUAAACCUCCCAAUUGCAAGAAUUUUUCUCCUCCUGAUCUAGAAUCAAAGGGAUGAUCCUUCUAUCGGUAUCCAUGAAUACAAGAUCACAUAUCAAGCAGGAGUUCACCUUCUAGAACGAAAGCCUACGAGAGCACUAUAUGUAUGGUGGAGCAGCCUUAUGGCUGAGAUAAUUUUCCAGAGAGAGAGAGAGAGAGAGAUGGUGCAUCCAACAAACACGUGUAUUGGGGGGCUGCCCCUCCCCUCUUUUAUAGAGGGUCGAGAGGGAUGCGGCUUCGGGAGAAGGUAGGCCCAGGGCUGGUCGCACCAAGGGUGAAGGAUCCCGCUUCCUUCCCCAAGUGCACCACAAUUGGGAAAGAAUCCGAAGGAUGCCUCCCUUCCUUUACAUGCACACGUAAUGCCUUGCCCAUCAACCAAAUGAGGGGGCACCACACUAAUGGGCCCCUUGGCCAAGUGGGCAGCUUUCUUGGAUGUUCUGGAAUGUUCUAGAACCUUUCAGAGCCUUCCAUGGCACUCCGGGACUUUCUUAGUUUUUCGGAAUGUUUUCGGUUUUCACCGAAACAUUUCCGGUUUUCUCCCCGAACAUUUUCAAUAGUUUUGGAAUCCCCACCUCACUCGAAAGUUGGGUGGAUGAUUUUCACAUAUGUAAUUAUGUUUAGGUUAUAUGGUUCUAUUCAUUUUUUAAUCUGUGUACAAUUGCUAUGAGUGGAAAUAAUUUUGGAGCAGGGAUAAUUCAAAAUUUCAUGGCCGCCUCUUUCUCGGCUCAGCAGCAUGAGGCUUGGAGUGUGCUUCUCGAGAGUUGAACCCACAACCACUUUGUACAGGACUUGUGAAGACUCGGUUUUAGGUGUUCUGACCAUGCAUCUGGGUUGUGUUACUAUAUAUAGUAUGGCUGCCAAACAUAUCAGUGUACCCAUGAAAGUGAUAGAUAUAUAUUACACCAACAUGUGUGUGCUUAUGGCAGUGUUCAUCAUGUUUUCCAUAUGUAUCUAAGGUUUGGUUGAACUAUGAAUGUGUAUGCAAACAUCUAUGGACCCUACGGGGAAUAUAUAUGGUGAUUAGUACUCUCUCCGUCCCAUAUUAACUGUCGCUUGAACGGAUGUAUCUUGCCGUCAGUAGUAAAGAACAAAUUGAUUUACCAGUUGUCAAAGAUGGAAGCAGAAAUAUUGUCUACAUGGGAAGAUCGGCUGCUCGAAAAGAAUAUGCAAACUUCAUAGAAGACCCGAGGGAAACAAUAAUACACUAUCAUAGUACUGAAUAUAUUGCACAAUUUCAGAAUAACAAUGCAAUCUGAGGUGACUGAGGUUUAGGAAAAUAUCAGACUUAACUAAUUUAUUAGAACUUCGAAGAUGAUAAAUUCCGAACGUUCAGAUAUUGGCCAUGGCAUAUUGAACGUUUUUAUGACAACUUCAGUUGACGUGAGGACGACAAGUUUGGUAAGCACGACAAUUUCCUGGCAAAAAACAAACCGAGGACAUAACGUCUGUUGCCGGAUAUCCUAAAAUAAAUUCAAGAUAAAUGCAAGCACUAAGACUUGAACCUUGAUGGGAUCGGGAUACCACUGUCCACCUAACCAUCCAACCAUAGGUUGGUUCGCAUGUGUUCCAUCUGUUUAAAAUGUAUCAAACCAAUCAUCCAGAUCUGCCAAAUAUGUAGAUAUGUUCAGGCUGUAGUUUCUUUCAAUCAUCAAGAACUCUAUCGUGGGCUCAUACCUGGGCAUACUGGAGGCCCAUUGCCAUACUAAAUAAGGCCACUGAGGCACUAACAUGUAUAAAAAAAAUGAAAUGACUACUAAGUACUUCCUAGAAGGGUUUCUUGUGCCGCCGUCGCCAUCUGAGAAAUUUAGGUCCCCUCGCCUCCGGCCGCCAUCUUGGCGCUGAGAGGUGGGGGGACCUUGGGUCUUCAAGAUCUCUAUGUUCUUCAUCAAUGUUUAGUGAUCAUCAUAGUUUUGUAAAAAUAAAUUUCCUCUCAUUCAUUUGGCGGUGCCAUGAGGUUAGAGAGUUUUCUGUCCUCGCAGAUCCGAUUAUUCGGAUCUGACGAGUUUAUGUUACUGUGUCAAGCUUUUUUUGUUGGUCUGAUUCUUUGUGGAGGUGAAAGCAUCGACACCAUGGUGAAGUUAUAGUGAUUCGACGGCCUGCACUUCUAGGGGAUCAUCCCGGCCCAAGUACAUUCAUCGAUCAAGGUUUCUCAUCUUUUUGGAUGGGCGACUCAAGACGUUUUCAAAAACCAUUAUUGGUAAUGUUCAUGCGCGUGAAAGAGUGACAACAUCGUUGCUCCAGCCCAAUUGCACUCUUUGCUGAAGUCUUUGGAGUAUUUUUUUCGAGCCAAGAAGGUGUUUUCAAAAGAUUUCACUGUAAUUCAUAGUCAUAUGAGUUACUUUGUAUUUUCUUGAAUCUCAGAUCCAAAUCAGUGUACCUGUAAUUGUUGUGAGUAUGACUAAAGUUAUAGGUGUUUUUCAAAAAGAAAACUAAGUACUUCCUUCGCUUUUUUAACUUUGCAUAUAAGAUUUGUCUUAAGUUAAACAUCAUGAAGUUUUACAUAAUUUUAUAUCCUAAAAUACUAGAGAUAUACGAUGUGAAAGUUAAUUCAAUAAUUUUAUAUCCUAAAAUACUAGAUAUAGGGAAAAUCCAUCCUACCACCCGGUGGUAGUUACCCCACAUGUCUCAUAUACUAUCAUGUGAUACUAUAUAUACUAUUCUAUUAUUUUAAAUAUGUUCAUAUACUAUAUCUAAGAUAUUUUAAAGCAAGUUACAUGAAAAAAUUGUAUAUGAGCCUAUAGUUUUUGUUAUAUUUGUGAAAUACAUACAUAUUUGUACAUAAAAAAGAGCAUACUCAAAAAAUGGUACAUACUACCUAAAAUUUAGUAUAUAUAUACUAGCUAAUCAUUGUUAUAUACUACAUACUACACGUACAUACUCUCGGUUUCGACAGAUACUACAUACAGCAUACAAAACGCAAGUGGUGGUAACUACCACUGCUUGAACAAUAGAUUCAUACUACUGCUUAUGGAUACUCUUCCUCAAAAUAAACCAGACAAAUGGCAUUGAAAUUCAUCAAUACAUGCAUGCGACCAUUCACUGAUUUAACUUUUUUCAUCCUCUUGUUUGGAUAGUGCCUUGCUUUUCCCGAAUUUCCUGGACAGGAGCAAUAGCAGGUUGGGGCUGGAGCCACACGAAGCUUCCACAACGCAACAACUUCAUUAACUUGGCCUCGCCAUGGACAAGGCUACACCUGAACAAACUGUCCAUAAAGACGAAAUAGGCGCACCCGCCCUCGAUGCUCAGUUGCGCAGCGUCAACGGCGAAGCUGCCCCGGGAACCGAGGAACAAGAUGUGGUCGUCCAAGCUACAGGCGUCCCUCACCGCCCAUAUCAUCUCGCCGCCCGCUCCUUCCAGGGUGUGCACCGCCACUGAUAAUGCCGGCGGCCAUCUGCCAUGCAGGUGGUGACGAUGGUACCAAUCACUCUCGAUGAGGACGGACGCUCGCAACAGCUCACCGUGGGACUCGAGAACAUAGCUGCACAUGCGGUAAUACCGUCUGUCCUGGGCUUUACAACAUGCCGUUUUAGGCUCGAGCUCGCGGACGGCGGUGUACUGGUCGCCAGUGGCUCGGAAGUCCAGGACGAUGCAGGAUCCGUCCACGAUUUCACAUGCCAAGACCUUGCCGUCGUGAUAUGCUGCGGAACAAUAAUAGUAUGUCAACCUGUUCAGUCUCUUUUCCACGACCGCCCAUGCCGCCUCGCCGGGACGUAGGACGGCCGCCGUGAAGAUUGCCCCACACCCCUUCUCACAGCUGUAUAGAAACACGGUGCUGUCGCCAUAGACAACGCCGUGGGGAUUGCUCAUCCGCUUGAUCACAUCGCCGUCAAUAUCAUCGGGGAAGGAGUAAAUAGCAUAAAACUACCACUUUUCAUCCUAUGGUUCCAAAAAAUCACCACUUUUUUGUUUGUGACUGAUACCUACCACUUUUCUAGUCGGCUGUCUCAAAAAACCCAAAUCGCCCGUUGCUAGCGUUUUAAACCGUUUUCUGACGGUCCGGGCCCGCCUGUCAGGCCACGUCAGCGCCGCGCGUGACGGCGAGGCCGUUAACGGCCGUUAUUCGGACCGACCGGUGCGGUCGGACCGCACCCGCUCGCUCGCUGCCGUUCUCUCUCUGUCGGCAGCAUCUCUCUCUCGCUCCUCCUUUCCCCCUGUGCUCUCUGUCUCCCCCGACGAUGGCGGCGGCGAAGAAGAAGGACGACGGCGAGCCUGGGCCGACAGCCAGCGGCGAGGGCGGUGCUCACUCCGAGGUCAACAAGUGGCUAGGCAGCGCAAGUUUCCCGACCCAGCGCUCGUCUGGGCCACCGACGCAGGAGGUCCAGAUGUCGCCGGCGUUCCGCGCGGCCAGGGCAGUGGCCAAAUGCAUCCACGCGGAUCCAGAAGGCGGGCACCAGUGGGCCUCCUCACUUGGUGGCGUGGAGUAAGUUAUGAAUUGUUUUAAUUAUUUUUCUUAGUUUAUUUAUGAACUAGGGUUAGGAUUUGUUUAUUAUAUUGUUAAUGAAUUAGUUUCUUUGGUAUAUUAUUAUGUAUACAUUGUACUCAAUAUAUGAAUUAGGGUUUAGGUUUGGAUGAUAUGUUGUGCAAGUGAAACUGUUGCAUACUUUUUAACUUCAAAAUCUGAAGAAAUCUGAAUGUGUUGUUUCUUUUUUUUUGCAUAGUUUGGAUGAUGAAGUAUGGGAAUUGAGGCUGCAUUUUCAGGGUAGAGACAACAUGGAAAGGAAGUUUUCCUUAUCAGAAAUGAAUUACCUAUUUUUGUUAGCACUUAUUGAACUUGAGGGCUAUGGGUUGGAUGCCUAUCUGUCAUAUGUUAAGGAUGAGGGUAAGGGGCUGGAGGGGAUUGAGGUUUGGGACAGUGAUGAGAAGGUGGAGGAGAUGCUAGAUUUGUUUGCUGAGAAGAAAGUAUUGAACAUAACAGUGAGAGAGGCUAGUGACCCAAAUCCAGCAGAUGCAAACAUGGACCACACCUUGCUUGAAGAGCAGAUUCCACUGAGUCAAGUUGGUGAUCCCAUUGUUUAUAGUGUUUCCCAAGAAGGUGUCCUUUACCCUGUCUCAAAUUCUUCACAGCCUCCAGUUGUGCCUGUUGAUCCAUAUUUUAACACACAGCAGAGUUGUAAUUUCAACAAGGGAAAAGAGGCAGUUGAAAUUGAAGGCAUUGAAGCAGAAGAUGAAGAUCAAGAUGAAGACGAGUUGGACAAAUCCUCUUUAGAUUUUGAGUUUUUCAGGGGUGAUUACAGAGGGAAGAAAAUUUCAUACAAGUCUUGGGCUAGGGGAGAAGAUGAAGGUGGUGAAGGAACAAGUCAGCACUACAGGGAAGAGGAAGAGAUGGCUGAGCAUUAUUUUGGGGGUGCUUCUGAACCCUCAGAGUUUUGGCAGGAGCCAAAUGGUUCUGAAGAAGAUGAUGAAGAAGAAGCUUCAGAUCAUGUGAAAACUGUGGCACAGAAGAUACCUGUGAGGAAACAAGGCCCAACAAGCAGAUCACACAGUGAGCCAGAUCACAAAAAGUUUGAAGAUUUCGUGCCAGAAGCUGAUGAGUUCUGCUUUCCAGGUGACGAAGGCAUUUCUGAUGAAGAAGAUGAUGCACCUAGGUUGCCUUGUGGCAGCAAGAGAAAAUUGAAGAAGAAGAAGGAGAGAAUAUGGUAUGAUUCCUCUAGGCCUGAUGCACAUGAACAGUUUAGGAUUCAUUUGUGCUUUCUGAAUGUGGUAGAGUUCAGAGAAGCAUUGAGAAACUACCAUGUUAGGACACUUAGGAACUUUGAGUACCAUAGGAAUGAUCCAAGUAGGAUCAUAGCCUGGUGCUCAGAUAGAAAGCAUGGUUGUGAGUUUUAUAUUACUGCUUCUAAGAUUGCCCAUGAGUCAACCUUUAGCAUCAAGAAGAUGAAUCUUGAUCACACCUGUGGAGCAAGUGGAGAGAACACAAAGGUUACCAUGAAGUGGGUUGCAAAGGCUGUUGAGGAUACUGUAAGAUCCAAUCCUGGUGCAGGUGUUGAGACUAUACUGAGUUAUACAAAAAAGAAAUUUGGAGUACAUGUUCCAAAAAGUUUGGCCUACAGGGCAAGGAGGAAAGCAGUUGAUGUUGUGAAAGGGGAUCACAAGACACAAUACUACAGGUUAAGAGACUAUCUGCAGUGUGUUUUGGACACAAACCCUGGUAGUAGGUGUGUUGUGACAACAAAGGAAUUUGAACUUCACCCAGCACCUACCCCAAGGUUUCAUUACAUGUUUUAUUGUCUGUUUUCUUGUAAGGAGGGGUUCCUAAAUGGUUGCAGGCCUUUCAUAGGUAAAUCUAGUCUGUAUAGUGCUUAAAAGGGAUUGCAUUACAUGUUGCUGCUUACUAAUGGCUUAAAAUGCAGGUCUUGAUGGAUGCUUCAUCAAACUAAGCACUGGGCAGCAAAUCCUGGCAGCAACAGGGAGGGAUGGCAACAACAACAUCUUCCCUAUUGCAUUUGGUGUUGUUGACAAGGAGGAGACAGAUAGUUGGACUUGGUUUCUUACACAGUUAAGGACAGUAAUUGGUAGUGGCAACAAGUUUGGGCCCUACACAAUUAUGUCAGACAGGCAAAAGGUACAACUACUCUUCAUGAUUUGACUGCUUUUCCUUUCACUAUGUACUGCUUUUCCUUGCACUAUGUACUGCUUUUCCUUUCUCUACUUACUUCACUAGUUAUUAAUACAAAAUCAAUGAACAGGGUCUUCUCAAUGCAAUAGAGGAUGUAUUUCCUGAUUCCCCUCAAAGAUUUUGUUUAAGACACAUAUAUGCCAACUUCCAAUCAGCUGGGUUUAGAGGGGAUGAAUUGAAAAAACAUCUAGACCAGGCUGCAUAUUCUUUCACUAAGCAUGGGCAUGAUCUAGGCAUGGAAGCAUUGAAGAAAGAGAGUGAGGAGGCAUGGAAGUGGUUGUCCAACAUACCAGUCCAUACUUGGGCCAGGCAUAGAAUGGAUAUUAUAUGCAAGACAGACCUUGUUGUAAACAAUCUUAGUGAAGUUUUCAACAGGAUUAUUCUGGAUGUUAGGAACAAGCCCAUAAGGACAAUGCUUGAAGGAAUUAGGACAAAACUCAUGAUCAAGUUUCAGAAGAUUAGGGAGAAGACAGAGACAUGUAGGUGGGAUAUCACAUCCACUUACUCUGAGAUAUUGGAGGAGGCCAAGAAGUGGGCAAAAUAUUGUGAUGCAUAUAUGGCUGGACCAGGAAUUUGGCAAGUUACAAGUAGUUCAGAAAAGACCUACUGUGUAAACCUAAACAACUACACUUGUGACUGCAGGAGGUGGGAUAUGGCAGCUGUUCCAUGUAGUCAUGCUAUAGCAGCAAUGCAGAAGGUGAAGCUACACCUUGAAGAUUUUGUCCAUGAGUUCUUCAAGAAGCCCCUCUACUGUGAAACCUACAAGCAUAUUAUAUACCCUGUUCCAGGCCCUGAUUGUUGGCCACACACCAUGGGGGAUGACAUAUCUCCUCCAGUAUUCAAAGAAAAGAAGGGUAAAAAGCAGACAGCUAGGAGGAAAGGACAUUUUGAGGUGCCUGCCAAGAAGGAUACAUCAAGAAUUGGGACAGUGACCUGUAGCAAUUGCAAUGCAAGGUCACAGAUAUACCACUUGUGGUGUUCCACUGAAACCCAAACUGCAGAUGAGAAAGAAUAAUCACCAGGUAUACUUAUUGAUAAAGAAACUUCUGUUUCAUAGGCUAGGUGGUUUAAUUAUAAUUUGCUUUGUUAAAUGUGCAGGAGAAUAGGUCAGACUACUCUUCAUCUACCAGAGCUUCUACAGGUGUGGUUGCACCCCACCCCCACCCUCACCACCACCAUCAGCACCAUCAGCACCAGCCAUAGCUAGGAAGAGGCCUGCAACAGCCACAAUUACUCCAGGACCAGCAAAGAGGAACAAGGGAGCUGCUUCUGCUACUCCAGCACCUGCCACAUCAGCACCUGCCAAGAAGACCAAAGAAACCAAGAAGACCAAAGCAACCAAGAAGACAGGGGCUCCUAGCACAUCUUCACCAGCCAAGAACACAAGGUCAUCCAUUGCUUCUCCAGCAAAGAACACCAGAGCAUCAACAGCUAGCAGAGGGUACACAGUUUUCAAUGCUCCAAGGCAAGCUGCCAACUCUAAGAUGGAGAUUGGGUCCAAGAGGGUUAGGAAGCCAACUAGAAAGUGAAAGGCAUAUUUCACAGCUAGUGGUAACUACUGAAGAUUCCAACAUUUGAGAAAGUUGUCUUGUUGUAUGAGUGCUGAAACCUAAGUGUUUGCAACCUUAAACCUAUGUAUUUGCUUGCUGAAACUUGAGUGUUAGCAUUAUGAAACCUAUGUAUUUGCUUCCUGAAACCUAAGUGUUUGCAUUAUGAAACCUGAGUGUUUGUGACUUCUGGGUAGAUUUUCAGACAACACUGAUGCAAACAUUGAUUCAUUUAUUCAAACAUUCAUAGAUUCCACCAUCCAAACUUUCUUUCAUACAAAGAGUUGUACAGAAAUGGAAGGGAUACAUAGCUCAGACUCUCAUUCAUACUUAAAAAAACUACUUCCAACAACUCUCAAUCGUAACGAUCGAAGAAACGACACCACUUUGCUCUGGUAGAAGGGUGAGGAGCGAGUACUGCCUGUCUCCUAGCCCACCUGAUGAUCUUCCCUGAGCUCUUGCGCCUGCCGCCAGGGACAAGAACUGUGAACUCAUCUGAGUUGCACUUCUCCAAGAUCUUCUCUGCCAGCCUCCUCUUGAACUCCAGCUCCCAUUCCACUGCCUGCACUACAGGGCGAGCCCUUUGCCUCCUCACAUCCACUGCCUGCACUGCCUCCUCUUCCUCAUCUGUCACCUCCCCAAGCUCUGGAUCCAUCUAGGGUUUCUAGAGGUGGUGUGUGGCGGCUGUGUUCUGGAGGGAGGAGGGUGGGUGGAGUAGGCUAUUUAUGAGCAGUGGAGGGUGGGUGGAGUAGGCCUAGGUUUGUAAAUAUAACUGGGCCACAAAGCCCAGGUACAAAGCACUAAUAAACAUAACUACCUUUUAAACAUAAAAAGACACAUAGCAUACUCCAGCAGUGCUUAUCACUGACUCCAUAACAUAGCAGAAGAGGUUCACCUUUUAAACAUAAAAAGACACAUAGCAUACUCCAGCAGUGCUUAUCACUGACUCCAUAACAUAGCAGAAGAGGUUCAAAUACAGGCAGAACAGUCAUUACAACUUAGUUCAUAACUUAGCAUUAAAGGUUCUAGCAGCAUAACUACAGUUCUUAACAUUGGCAUAGAUAGACUAGAUUAGCUUCACAUUCCCCAAAAUGUACACCCCAUAUCUUCACAUCAGAUUGAAGGGGAACGCGACAGAAAACAAAAAUUUUCCGACCUACGCACCAGCCCAGGACCACUAUGGAGACUGCAUACAUGGUUUGAUCUUUUUCGUUACCGACUCGUAGCGCAGCGGGAAGUAGAGUCGAUGACGAUCGGCAAUGCAGAUCCCCGCAGCUAGGAUUUACAACCUCCCAACCGCGAGGAUGUAUACCCUCAUCUGCUCCUCAGACAGCCCUCCGGGAGGCGGUCGAACAGCCCCCCGGACGGUGUCGUGGGCAGCCCUUCGGGAGGACCUUCGAAACUCGAACGGUCACUCGGACAGCCCUUUGGGAGGACCUUCGAAACUCGGACGGUCACACGGACAGCCCUUCGGGAGGCACUCAUGAACUAAGACCGAAACUACGAUCUCUCUACAGAGUUGCACACAUACGGUGUCAUCUAUCCGGCAGGGCUUCGCCGUCCAGAACUAGUUCCUGCCGGAACCCAGACAGCCUUACGGCUCUACGAAACUCUUUUCGUGGGAGGGAGAGAAGAGGCCAGAUAAUGCAUGGCAUGUGUAUGAGAGCAAGGGAUGAGUGUGGAGGGCUGCCCCUCCACCUCUAUUUAUAGGAAAUCCCAAGGGGGUAGGGUAGUUUCACAAAAAACCCAAAAUGCACAUGAAUGAAGUCCUUCCACAAGGACCUAGGAGUGAAACCAAGGAACAAGAGGGUCCCCAAGGGGGGAUACCCCAUGUGGCCGGCCACACCCCCAUGAGGGGCCCAAAAAAUGGCUCAUAUCCAUCCAUGUCAUCCCCAAGAUCUUUUGGAGCAAAGCCCCAAAAGGUGGCUUUCCAUAAAGUAACCAUAAAGCUGAUUUUCACUAUUCACGACGACAUUUUUCAGCGUCUGAUCGAACUGAAAAUAUUUAUGUGGGCUAAGAACAUUUCCAGUACCCACUAAAAUGAUUUUCAACGCGUUCCGAAACAAUUCCGGUUUUAGUGAUUUUCAUCUGCGAAACGCAUCUGAAGUGGCUCCGGCAGCUCCGGAACAUUUCUGGUUUUUAUCUCAGAAAAUUCCAAAAAGCUUCCAGAAUGAUUCUGGCAUCCUCCAAGAAUUAUCAGGCAUGUGCCGAAACCAAUUUGACUUAAUGGUGUAUCCCGAAACAACUUUUCGGUAUCAUCGAAACUUAUCCGAUGACCUCUCUCUGCGGUACGAUUCCGCUGUCCGAAACUUUUCGGUGUCCGAAACUUUUUCGGUGAUUUUCUCUCAGACUCCCUGUCUAGUAUUCAGCAGAUAGAUGACCCUUAAGCGUGUGACCCUAUAGGUUCGGUGAAGUAUAGACAUGACCCGGAACCCCUUCCGAUCAAUGAUCAACAUCGGAGCCGUGGACACCCAUAUUGACCCCUAUACCCACACGAAUAAAUAUUCGAGUGAACCUCCAGUUGCCGUGUGCUAUUCCUGUUGCUUCGCGAUAUGUUACAAAUACCCGAGGUGAGGCAUGUUGGCAUUCCCGUGGAUCAACAACUUGUCCACUAUGCUAGUUACCUCGUUACCGGUUUUGUUCUCUUUUCUCGUUUUGUGUUCCGGCAUCCCCGUGAUUAAAUCACAAAGUGUCUGGCCAGACGAUGAUGGACACCGUAACACCGAGAGGGCCCGAGUAUAUCUCUCCAUCGUCGGAGGAGCAAAUCCCAAUCUCGAGCUAUCAAGUCACUUAACAUACUUUCCCAUGAACCCGUAAGCCGCCGUAAUAGCCAUCCAGUUACGGAUGACGUUUAACAAACCCCAAAGUUCAUGAAGCAAGCAUGAAGAAACUCGAUACUCUCAUGGUCUAAGGAAUUAUGCAAACAUUAACUAUCUCUGUGUUAUAAACCAAUAACUUGUGAUGAAUGUAUCUCAUAGCAUAACAUCAAUUCGGGUCGAUUCAACACACAUGUCCUUCCUGACAUUGUGCCCUCAAAAUUGCUUGGCAUAGACAUGCCCAUGAUUGGGAAAACAUAAUCAUCAUGCAACGCUUGAGCUAGUCUUAGAGGCACGACUAGGAAUACAUUUUACCGUUUAUUAUUCCACACGUGCAUAUGGGUUCUCCCCAGAGCCUUUAUGGAUAUACGGGCUCGGGAACCACAGCAGUUAUAGCAUGGAACAUAAACAUAAUUAUGAACAGGGAGAUAAUCAAUAACAUUUAUUAUUGCCUCUAGUGCAUAUCUCCUACAGACUCCCACUUGCACUAGAGACAAUAAUCUAGCUUAUGCUAAUGCACUUCACACCUGUGGCACACCGGUGUAAAUAUGCUUCGCUUGUGGUAUAGCCUGAUGUCCAACGGAUCUGACGACUUCAGUUCCGUGUGUAUCUUUGCAUGUCCUCGCGUUUUCACAUUUUCACAAAAUUCAUAUUUUGUGUGGACUUGGCUUUGUAUGCAUGUGAAUCACAGGUCGAACCUGGAUACCUCAGACUGAGUUAUGGAGCAACUACCUGCAGUAGUGUCCCAUUGUCAAAAGCCAUCUUGGAACUAUACUAAGUUCAUGAAUGAACUAUAUGAUUCAACAUCUUCUUUGUCGCUUCUAAAGCGUCAACAUACUUAGCCCUUGUUAUAGAAUUCGCCACAGUAACUAGUUUGAACAAAUUCCAACUAAUUGUGCCACCACAUUGUGUGUUACACAAAACCCUUAAUUUAAAUCGAAAAUCGCAUGGAGAAAAGAUGAAGACUCUAUCGAUGUAACAUUUUACAACGAACUCUUCAUGAUCUCUGCUUGCGAGAGAGCCAUGUCAUCAGUACUUACUCUAGUACUCUGUGACAUCUUUCACUGUUGUCCCAUGAUCAGUAAUUUGAUCACUUUGGUAUCCAUACUCGCAACACCUUGGGAGUAUCGGACAUAUCUGGUUGUUUUACAUACCAUGGAAUACAUGAUUAAUCCAAACACAAAAGUGUGUGGAAUCUGCAUCAUGUAUUUUACUCAUCAGUGUUUUGGGACACCGAGUCUUGCAGAAACUCUUUCCAUGUGACUUUGGCAAGAAUCACUCCUUCGCGUUUUAAAUGCUAAAAGGUUUUAGCAUCUUGUCAAUAUGUAUUCAUUGCUUAGCCCCAUUAGGUAAAUCUAUCUCCAUAGAUCAUCAUGCCUAAUAUUGAGGCUAUUUAGCCUAAGCACUUCAUCGAAAAACUAUUUUCAAAUGAAGUCCUAAUUUGUGUCAAGAAAUUUAUUUCCAAUUACCAAUGUGCCAAGCACAUAAGGUUUUUAGAAAUAUUAUUACGCUCCCACUUACUUUCUUGAAUUACAAGAAUCUUCGUUACCCAUUGAUGAAGUCAAAACCCCUUUGACCAUUUCAUCAAAACACGAAGAUUCCAACUCCAUUUUGCUCUCUUCUGUCCAUUGCUGGAACUCUGAAGUUUGCAUACCUACUAGCAUCCUCUAGAUCGACAAAUUACUUUGGACUGUAUCAUAUACAAGUCCUAGCUUUCAUUUCCAUCAGAUGGAAAUCCUUUUAUCAUCCAUGUUUCAUAUCUCAUGAUUGAAAUAUGUAUUAAUUGCUAGUUCAACCCGAACCGACUUUAAGCAUCGCUACGAUGAAAACAACCUCAUCGUAUUAUUUCAACAAGUCGAGCUUUAUGGAUAAAACAUUUUAUCCGUAUCAGUUUUAAGUUCCAUAAAUAUUCGUUAGACUCUAAGUCUUCCGAAAGGUGUAUCAAGGUUUUAAUCUUGAAUCACUUAUAUGGAAACUAACUCGGGUUGUAUUGGCAUUUAGCCAAUUCCGGAGUCAGGGCCCAUCAACGCUUCCUUGUGUAUCGUAGGUAUAAUGUUGUCUAACAACAAUAUCUCGUUUGCGCACCUGAGAGGUUUGCACGAGCCUUGCCUACGUGGUUCAGCUGCAAGUUCGACCGAAGUUCAUAUAUUUUAUUGUAGAGACUUCUGUAUCAGUCGCAGUAGGAAACUCUGGAAUUUCUUCCAAGGUCUCUUUCCUUUGAUCUGAUGAAGAUACUGUUUAUCUCGUCGAGUUGCACUAUUCUCCCACUCACCUUUUAGAAAGAACCAUUCUCUUUAAAAGCACACCGUUUCGCGGCAAAACUAUUUGCCUCGGUAUAGUGAGGGAGGAAUACCCAACAUUUUGGUAUAACCUACAAAGUAGCACUUGUCUGAUUUGGAAUAGGUUUGUAACCUUUUACACAAGCCCCAUAUUCCAAAUGUUAAGAAAAGAUAUAACAUGGUUGGGCGUACCAUACCAUGGCUUCAUUUCAACAGACCCGAUGUAGCUCUUUUCAGUGUAAAAGCCGCAGUCUCUAAAGCAUCACUUUAAAAGGGAUAAUGGCAAAUUUAUUUAUGUCAUCUUUGACCUUACCAUGUCAUAAAUGGUUUGAUUACAUCUCCACGGACUUUCCACUUGCAGUGGUGUUCCGGGAGGUGCAAGUUUAUGAAACCCCUUUCACAACUCAUCAGACAUUCGCUAAACAUGUAACUCAAAUAUUCCUUUGUGCAAUCAAAUUGCAGAAACAUACUUUUCUUGUUACAAUAACUUCUACUUCAUUUUUGAGAACCUUUUGAAUGAUUUCAAAAGAUCCAGACUUACGUCUCAUCAAGUAAAUAUCCAUAUAUCUACUUGAGUCAUUUCUGAAGAUAAAUAAAUCCACCACUAACAACACUUAUCGGACUACAUACAUCAAAUGUAUGAUCACUAAUAAGUUUAUUGUUCGUUCCUUAUGGCCUGUGAACGGUAUUUUAGUCACUUCACUUUUCGGAGGAAAGUUGCAAGUGUCAGAUGAUUCAAAAUCAAAAAGACUUCAAAAUCCAUCAUAAUGGAAUUUUCCAUGCGGGUUUCUCCAAUGUGACCAAAUGUAGUGCCACACUUGUGUGGUAUUCUUUUAGUCUUGCGACAUUUAGCGUCAGUGUUAUGGAUGUAUCAUAUUACCCUCAAUAUUCAUAACAUACGUCCCAUCGAUGAUGGAAGUAUGGCCCUUAUGUUAUUCAUAAUACUUAACAACAAUUGUUGUUUUUAUGAACAACUCUUUUGCAACAAACAUUGUGCAAUGGGCUAGAGUGUAUGAAACUCUAAAAUGAAUUAUGAAAGUAAACCCAGAGGUAUUGUAUUAUUAUCAAUAUUCAUAACACACAUCUCAUUCAUAAUGAAAGUAUGGCCCUUGUGUUAUUCAUAACAUCGAACAUAAAAAGUUAUCUUAUGAACAACCUUCUUGCAAGAUGCCUUAUGAAAUGGGAUAGAGUUUGUAAAACUCUAAAUUAAUUAUGAAAAUAAAUACAGACGGCAAUACACCGAUGGAAGGUAUAGUAACAUUUACUAUGUUCCCUGUGUAUACCUUAACCUCAUUUCUAGCUAGUCUUUCAAGCCAUAGUAGUUCUUACAUCGAGUUGCAACAGAAUGCAAUCGAGCGGGCAUUUUUGUGAUGAACUCACAAUACCCAAGAAUUAGUGAUUAACAUGUUUAACCAUAAUUCGCAAGAACUAUAUCUUUGACCAGCCUUCUAUACAUCAAAAACUUGUAUGACAUUCAUACAUGAGCUGGAUAUUCCAGUCUUCUUUCCUUUUGCCUUUAUACUUCUAGCAGUUUAACUUUUAGUAUUUCUCCUACUCUCAGAAGAAGCACCCAACUUAAGAGUGGCAUUAGCCCCGGACUUCCUAGGCGUGUAAGUCAUACUAACACCCUUUGGACACUUCCUUUCUCUUUAAGUUGUUGUUUUAUUCACCUUUCAUUAUAUGACAGGCGUUCUUCUGGAUCCCUUUCCCAACAGUCAAAUGCAUAGUAAACACUUUUACUAAUACUUGCAAACAAACAUUGCUUUGUUUGUAUCUGAAAAUAAUUUUCAGUUCCAUGAAUAUCAUAUAACUAUCCCAACUUUCGAAGUUUGGGUUUCAUGGAAGCAAACAUAUUCCACUUGACCGUAACAGAAUUCUAGCUUUUGGAUCAAAGGACGAGAGUCACAUGAUCCAUAGCAUUAGCGGGAGGAUACGGAAAGCAUGCGAUAGGACAAAGUCCUUCUCGGCACUUUUGAGGACAAUCCUCAUAUUAUGGUACCAAUCAUAAAGUUUUAACCAGAUAUUUAACAGCUAUUCAAUUUUAACAGGGAAGGUGGAAACGCGAGCCAUUAUUCUACAACUAUUUUGCAUAUAACACUUAGACAAUGUUCAUAAUUAAUUGCACUAAGAAUUAAACAUGUUAAUUCAACAGUGCGCUCCCACUCAAUUCAAUAUCUCUCAAAAUUGAUUGUGAGUGAUACAAGACCCACAUUUCAAUUGUUCGCCAUUGGUGUAACACCACUGAUGACGAAAAAUUUCAACCGGUAGGCCAACUUGCCAAUCACAUCUCUAUGUGACUCUUGUUCAUCUUUCGAUGCGUGUGUUCCGAGCUCAUGACGGUCAUGCCUGAACGUCAAGACAACCAAGUGAUCUCGCUGCAAGGUCUCAACUCACCCGCCUCACACUUCUCUAAUCGUUCGUACCCGUGUGACACGGCGCACCCCGAAAAGAUAGGUGCCGUGACGGUGCUACACUUGGGAGAACACUAACUACUUGGUAUUUUAAGUGAGAGAUCACCCUAAUAAAAGCGACUACCGCGCAAUCAAGAAGGGUGCAUCAUAAGGGAUAAACAUCUCAGGCAAUUCAUAAUAGCAUGAUAUGGUAUAGCCCUUUCUGACGGAGAAGUCUUUCAUUUCUUCGUCUUCGGCAUUCGCGUCGGUGUUCACCUUCGCGAAGAUUGCCACCACCUUGUCGAUGCACCAGAUAAUAUUGCUAUCUCUAUAGCUAACAAAAUAAUGCAUUACAACAAGGUGGACACGCAGGUCAUUAAAGUGCAAUCAUAUGGCUCCAACCAUCAUGCCGAAUCAUGACACGCAGGUCAUGUUAAUCAAAUUACAUCAUAUAGUCAUCUCAGACAUAAUCGAAUUAGUAUGAGCACUGCUAUACCACAUCAUAUGCACAUCCUGCAAAACCAAGUUAGACGCCUCUAAUCGGUUUAUGCAAAAUUUAUUUUACGUGGCUUCUAAGGUUUUGACUUAAACCGCAGCGACCAACGUUUUAUCAUCAAGUAUGAUUAUUCAAGUUGCUAGAUUAACAUCUCGAGGUGUAUGAAACACGGGAUAAUUAAAUCUCGAGCCCCAUACUAAACUUCGUCAUACGCAUGACCCCCGUGCAGAUCAUAUCUGCAAUGCCCUUUCAUCUGCGAAUUUCAUCUUUCUUUUGACUACGGCAGAACCCAAAGAACUGAUAGCACUUCCAUGAUCAAUCAGGAUCACGGAUUGCCAGAACUUUGUCAAAUUCCACCAUGCUGUCUCCAGAUUGAGCACACGCAAAUUCUAGGGAAGCAACAAGAACCUCGGGUAACAGAUUUCAUCUGUCACCCGCAUAAAUAAUUUUCAGCAAUAGAUCUCAUCUACUACCUAAUUAUAUUAUGCAAUACCCAUACAUCUCCAUGUAUUAUAGAUCGAAACCUACAUCUACGCAUAGCACGGCUCUUGAUGCCACUGAAGGGGAACGCGACAGAAAACAAAAAUUUUCCGACCUACGCACCAGCCCAGGACCACUAUGGAGACUGCAUACAUGGUUUGAUCUUUUUCGUUACCGACUCGUAGCGCAGCGGGAAGUAGAGUCGAUGACGAUCGGCGGUGCAGAUCCCCGCAGCUAGGAUUUACAACCUCCCAACCGCGAGGAUGUAUACCCUCAUCUGCUCCUCAGACGGCCCUCCGGGAGGCGGUCGAACAGCCCCCCGGACGGUGUCGCGGACAGCCCUUCGGGAGGACCUUCGAAACUCGAACGGUCACUCGGACAGCCCUUUGGGAGGACCUUCGAAACUCGGACGGUCACACGGACAGCCCUUCGGGAGGCACUCACGAACUAAGACCGAAACUACGAUCUCUCUACAGAGUUGCACACAUACGGUGUCAUCUAUCCGGCAGGGCUUCGCCGUCCAGAACUAGUUCCUGCCGGAACCCAGACAGCCUUACGGCUCUACGAAACUCUUUUCGUGGGAGGGAGAGAAGAGGCCAGAUAAUGCAUGGCAUGUGUAUGAGAGCAAGGGAUGAGUGUGGAGGGCUGCCCUCCACCUCUGUUUAUAGGAAAUCCCAAGGGGUAGGGUAGUUUCACAAAAAACCCAAAAUGCACAUGAAUGAAGUCCUUCCACAAGGACCUAGGAGUGAAACCAAGGAACAAGAGGGUCCUCAAGGGGGGAUACCCCAUGUGGCCGGCCACACCCCCAUGAGGGGCCCAAAAAAUGGCUCAUAUCCAUCCAUGUCAUCCCCAAGAUCUUUUGGAGCAAAGCCCCAAAAGGUGGCUUUCCAUAAAGUAACCAUAAAGCUGAUUUUCACUAUUCACGACGACAUUUUUCAGCGUCUGAUCGAACUGAAAAUAUUUAUGUGGGCUAAGAACAUUUCCAGUACCCACUAAAAUGAUUUUCAACGCGUUCCGAAACAAUUCCGGUUUUAGUGAUUUUCAUCUGCGAAACGCAUCUGAAGUGGCUCCGGCAGCUCCGGAACAUUUCCGGUUUUUAUCUCAGAAAAUUCCAAAAAGCUUCCAGAAUGAUUCUGGCAUCCUCCAAGAAUUAUCAGGCAUGUGCCGAAACCAAUUUGACUUAAUGGUGUAUCCCAAAACAACUUUUCGGUAUCAUCGAAACUUAUCCGAUGACCUCUCUCUGCGGUACGAUUCCGCUGUCCGAAACUUUUCGGUGUCCGAAACUUUUUCGGUGAUUUUCUCUCAGACUCCCUGUCUAGUAUUCAGCAGAUAGAUGACCCUUAAGCGUGUGACCCUAUAGGUUCGGUGAAGUAUAGACAUGACCCGGAACCCCUUCCGAUCAAUGAUCAACAUCGGAGCCGUGGACACCCAUAUUGACCCCUAUACCCACACGAAUAAAUAUUCGAGUGAACCUCCAGUUGCCGUGUGCUAUUCCUGUUGCUUCGCGAUAUGUUACAAAUACCCGAGGUGAGGCAUGUUGGCAUUCCCGUGGAUCAACAACUUGUCCACUAUGCUAGUUACCUCGUUACCGGUUUUGUUCUCUUUUCUCGUUUCGUGUUCCGGCAUCCCCGUGAUUAAAUCACAAAGUGUCUGGCCAGACGAUGAUGGACACCGUAACACCGAGAGGGCCCGAGUAUAUCUCUCCAUCGUUGGAGGAGCAAAUCCCAAUCUCGAGCUAUCAAGUCACUUAACAUACUUUCCCAUGAACCCGUAAGCCGCCGUAAUAGCCAUCCAGUUACGGAUGACGUUUAACAAACCCCAAAGUUCAUGAAGCAAGCAUGAAGAAACUCGAUACUCUCAUGGUCUAAGGAAUUAUGCAAACAUUAACUAUCUCUGUGUUAUAAACCAAUAACUUGUGAUGAAUGUAUCUCAUAGCAUAACAUCAAUUCGGGUCGAUUCAACACACAUGUCCUUCCUGACAUUGUGCCCUCAAAAUUGCUUGGCAUAGACAUGCCCAUAAUUGGGAAAACAUAAUCAUCAUGCAACACUUGAGCUAGUCUUAGAGGCACGACUAGGAAUACAUUUUACCGUUUAUUAUUCCACACGUGCAUAUGGGUUCUCCCCAGAGCCUUUAUGGAUAUACGGGCUCGGGAACCACAGCAGUUAUAGCAUGGAACAUAAACAUAAUUAUGAACAGGGAGAUAAUCAAUAACAUUUAUUAUUGCCUCUAGGGCAUAUCUCCUACACAGAUUGUUAGGCCACAUACUUAUAAAGGCCUUGGAUGUACUUCACCAUCUGCAGAACACACUUCAUGAAUUAAGGAUGGCCUUGAUUUUCUCAAGUUUCUCCUUGCUUGCAUGCCCAUCACUCAGCAGCUCAUUCACCACAUGCUCAAGCUUGGCCUUCUCUAUCUUAAGAAAAUCUCUCUCCUGUUCAACCUCCUUCUUUGCCUUCCUGGUAUUCUUGAUAAUGUCAGCUUGACUCUGUAAAAUGCACCUUUGUUCCUUGGCAAGUUUGAGCUUCUCCAUCUGAACCUCCAACCUAGCACUCUCUUCUACCUCUUUCUUCUUCUUCUCAAAAUUGUUCCUCCUCAACUGCCUUCUGGUUAUCCAUGUGGCCUACCCUACCAUCCUGCCAAUGAAACAUCUUGGAUACAUCUUGGACAAGCUUUGUGUACUCAAUGCACAACUUGUCAUUUUCAGUCUUAAGCUUGGCCAAAUGCUUCUCAUACUUCUGCUUUUCAACUACCCUGCCACAAUUCUGUUCAUGGUACAUGUCCCACAGCCUGGACAAGCAAUUCUGAAGAAUUGGAUGCGAGGGCUUGUCAACCCACUCAGUAACACCACAGUUAACACCUUCACUCUGCAUUUGGAAAUUGAAAUAUACAUCACUAAGUGCACUCAAAUUCAUAACAACAAAUCAUAUCAGACUAAGAAACUAAUGGUGAGGCUUAAGUAAACUAAAUAUGUUGUUUAAUAUAACUCAAACUAUAACUGAAACCCAACCUGCUUGUACAAGUACAUUCACAGAUAUAUGCUUCCUAUACAUAAGCAUUUUUGAUAGUAACCAUAUCCCUCAAUACCUUAAUACAAGGCAUAUUGCAGUUCAUCCUAAAUAAUACAGUGUAGGUUCAGAAGAGCAACUUGUCAACAUAAUACUGUGUGGGUUCAGAACAGCAACUUGUCAUCCUUGUAAAUACAUGUGUGGGUUCAGAAGAAAAUGAUUCCAAUUAAGGUACUAUACCUGCUGCACUGGACAACCAUAGAAACGCCUUCCAGUUAAGGUUCCUUCAAAUGCCACACACUUAAUUGGCCUCAUGUGGUGCAUCAUGCAGGUGGGUUCAGAAAGCUCCAGCUGGCCACAGAAAAGAGGCUCCACGGUGGUGUCAGGGGUCUCCUGCAUGAACACAUCAACAAAAUCACCUUAGCUCACAAAACCAGACAUAGAUCACAAAUUAAUUCCCCAAUCCAGCAAGAACCCUAACCCAAACCCUAGUUUUCAAGCAUACAUAAACAUAGCUCAAACAGCAACCAUAACCCUGCCUACUAAAUAACAGUAAACAAAGCUUACCCUAGCUCACCAAGAUGAACACUAACCUAAUCUAGCUCCUAGAUGAACCCUAACCCUAGCUCAGCAGAUCGAAAAACUUACCCAAAGAGCCAUAUCCAUGCUUGUGAUGUCGCACUCAUCCUCUGAGCUCGUAUCCCCGUCAUUCCAGGAAGGCAUGGCGGCGGUGGAGCUUCCACAGCGCAAGUCGCCGCCGGCGUCGAAGAGCAGAGAGGAGAGGAGCGAGAGAGUGAGAGUGAGAGCAGAGGAAUGAGUGCGGGCAGGGGAGCAGAGUGAGAGGGAGGGAGACCACUUAAUGAGCGCACGGCAGCGAGCGAGCGGGUGCGGUCCGACCGCACCGGUCGGUCCGAAUAACGGCCGUUAACGGCCUCGCCGUCACGCGCGGCGCUGACGUGGCCUGACAGGCGGGCCCGGACCGUCAGAAAACGGUUUAAAACGCUAGCAACGGGCGAUUUGGGUUUUUUGAGACAGCCGACCAAAAAAAUGGUAGGUAUCAGUCACAAACAAAAAAGUGGUGGUUUUUUGGAACCAUAGGACGAAAAGUGGUAGUUUUAUGCUAUUUACUCUCGGGGAAGGGAGGCAGGGGCGUGGCGAUUCCGGUGACCAGGUUGAUUAGUUUCGGCUCAGCACCCCCGGCGAAGAGCCAGACGGCCGCGCCAUAUGCGCUAGCCACCCAGUUCCUGCCGCUGCCGCCCGCGGAUGGAUCCGCGGCAGCUAAGACGAUGUCAUCGUCGUAAUCGCGGCGGUGGCUCGAUGACGCAUCAUCGGAAGAGACUUUGACCUCGAUGUGCCCGGACCCGGAGUAGACCACGGGGGAGUGCAUGAUCUGGCCGUCGUUGCUUGGCCAGAGGAGCCAUGGCGGGAAUUUGGGGCGCGUGGCUGCGGAGUGCAGUCGUUCCCGCCAGGACGUGCAGACGGCGUGGAAGCGGACGAAGUCGGCGGCGUCGUGCAGACGGGCGGAGACGGCGAGGAGCAUGUCGGGCGAGAGAUCGGACCACCGCCGGGAGUUCCUCGGGGCGUGCGUGCCGCCGGGCUAGGGCGCCUGCGCAGCGGCGACGUGGGUUUCCAUGGGAUCGGAUCAGAGGGGAUCAAGAAGAGAUCGGAUCAGAGGGGCUCCGUGGACAACUCAACCCUAGCGUGAUUACGUCUUUUUCAGUUUGUUACCAAAAACGUGUACUGGCAGGGUAGCCAGCGUUUCUGCUCAGCCCGUUUGAUCUAUGGAAAUCUCAGUGUUUCAUCUAAAAAAAACCUAAUCCGCUUGGGAUAGGCCAGAGGUCAAUCCACUGAAAACUAUUUUGGGGUCAGACGGUCAAUCAAUUUGUUUACGGCCGUAGGAUGCAAAACCAGUGCCCAUAUGCCUUCUAUGUUCAUUGUUUUACCCAAGCCGUCCCACGGACCACCGGCCGAACCGCUAGCCACCUCAGGCAGCACUCCCGUGCCAGCCUCAUAGCCCCGCCUUCCCCUCACCGCCACCCACCGCCGUGUUGGCACCGCCGCGGCCAUCCCUCUAAACCGGCGAAGCACCAGAAUUUCCCGACAAGCCCUGCAACUCCCACCACCCCGAACCAUCAUAUCGUUUUCGUCGGCUACAACUCAUUCCUAGCCAAGGCCUUGCCGGUGUCCCCGGGCCUCGCUGCCGCUUGCGCCAGCACAAAAUUCUUGACACACAUCCGAGACGCACUCUCAAUGCGCACAUCCGAGCACAUAUAUAUUUUUCUAUUUCAGGCUUUCUGUCCGCAAUUUUUUCCAGGUUGUAGGUUUUACUAUCUUAUCACAUAACGGACCCGGGUGGAUAAUGUGUGCUUUAUUUCGUCUUCAUCCCUAGUCGGCGAGCUUUGAAGGAGAGAGAUGGAGAUAAAGGGAAGGGGCCGAGUAGCGGGACAGACGGAGCGGCUGGCGAGGCGGGCAGAGUGGCUUACCGGUGGGACAAACGGAUUGGCCGGCAAUACAAGCAGAGAGGUUGACCGGCGAGACGUGCAGACUGGUCGGCGAGGUGGGUAGACCGACCGGGGAGAUAGGUAGAGUGGCCGGCGUCAGCGAGGUAGUCUCCACACACAUUUAUUUCCUGGAAUUUUCUACCGGUUUUGAUUUGUUGGUAGGUGUUAUGGAAAACAUAAUAGAAAACAAAAAAAAAA
Molecule: long non-coding RNA, 44952 nt
Filed under: Triticum aestivum (bread wheat)
Lineage: Eukaryota; Viridiplantae; Streptophyta; Magnoliopsida; Poales; Poaceae
Description: long non-coding RNA (TAES_LNC012927)
Source: RNAcentral